This 63581-nucleotide long non-coding RNA is filed under the name Triticum aestivum (bread wheat). Its description in RNAcentral is "long non-coding RNA (TAES_LNC014426)". Lineage: Eukaryota; Viridiplantae; Streptophyta; Magnoliopsida; Poales; Poaceae. The record is from RNAcentral.
AUAAGUACUGCCGUUGAUUUUGGUAUAUGAGCACUAGUGUUUUCUGCUUACAACAAGCUAUGUAUUGUACAUAUGUCCAUUUUACCUGUGUAAAUAGUUUGUUUCAUACCCAGUAACAUGUUUCCUCAUAAUGAAUUAUUUGUGCCAUGUGAAUCAUUGCUGCUAUCCUGCUACUAAUGGAUACAAGGACGAAAUGCACAGUUUCCUGUCAAGUAGUGUUUGUUUGGUGACAGGAUGUUGUUUUUUACUUCCAAGUAUAAUGCUCCUUUCAUGUAGUGAUGAUACUACAUCUAUUUCAUUCCAUGUUUAUGCCUCUUCCAGAAAAUGUGCUGCACCUACAAUAAUCAAUCUAACUUAUCCAUUUUAUUUUAUAGGCCUUCGAGUACAAGAGGCUGCUGCUUGACUAUAACAGCGAACACGACCAACAAGUUCUGCCAGCGCGAGGCAAGCAACGACAUGCUCGGAUACCCCCACCUGUGAGUCGCGCUCCCCUUGCCCAGCCGCCCCUUCCCGCAAGUCUCUCUAGAUUUGGGAGCACUGCUAGAUCCUCUGCACUGGAAACGAUCAUAUAUUCAGAUGGUAUGUUAGUUUCCGUGGUUUUUGAUAGGCCCGGCAUCUGUUGGCGUUAACCAUUUCCUGUGUGGUUCUUCGUAGCCUUGUUGCUGUUGUUGACCCAAACCAGUUUGCGUGUGAUUGCUGGUACCUAUAUGUUAGUAUUGUUGCUGCCUACUAUGAGCUUGAAUGUCUUAGGCCCUGUUCGGAAUAAAGGGUAUUAAAACACAAGAAUUUAAGAAACAGUAGGAAUGAGAAAGGAGAAGCAGAGCAAAACUGCGGAUCUAGAAACGUAGGAAAGCUUGAGAAAAACGAGUUCGGGUCGUUGCAAAAACACAUAGGAGUCGGCUUAUGCAUGGGUUGUGAAGUAUAGAUUAAAAUAUAAUUUAUUCAGCAUGUAACGUACUAGCUGCUUUGGUCUCCAAGCUGCUGGCACACAAAGGUAUAUUUUAUUAGGAUGUACAGUGCAACUGUCAGCCUGCACUCAUUGUUAGCUCUGGGCUGCUUCGCUCUUACGCGAAGACACGAGCUCCGGUUGGAUUUUUAUUUUCCCGUGAAAGUUAGAGGAAUCUGAUGGUUGAAAUCCUGUGUGCCGAACGCUAGUUCUUAGCAGAUUUCCUCCGUUUUGGGUUCCUGUACCUUUUCUUUGAAAUUCCUGUAAACCGAACAGGGCCUUAGUAGAACAUCACCAGGUCAAUGUGUUAUAGUCAAGUUUUGGAAGUUUUGCCAUGCCAUGCUUAGUGUUUACUCAACUGUGGCAUUUGGGAAUUUAGGUGUAAUUUUUAUUCUCUUGAAUGGAUAUUUUUUUAUUGACAAUCAUUUAACUUCCACUGUAUCUUACUAAUAAUUUAUGUAGAUCAGCAUCUAAAGUUGUCGAGUGGCUGCUGCUGUGAAUGAAGAUCAGAAGAAGCCUAGAGAUGUGCACAAUAGUUUUAGUUGAUGUUGCCACCAUGUUUUGGUGCGUGUGUAUUUGUUUCCGAUUGUAUGUACACUUGAUGGAUCGUGCGGAUGUGUAUGAGCUAUUGUGAGUUUCAUUGAGGGAUUUCUAGAUUUGAUCAUUUAAUUGUGAGAAUUAUUGAUUGUUUGUUGUUGAAAUGUGUAAAAUUGAAAUAUGUGAAUGAAAAAUACUGAAUGUUCUAUUGGAUUGAAUAAUAUUUGGGCUCUAAAAAGGCUAUGGCCCAAACGACAGUGGACUGGAAUAUCGCGCAUUUACGAAAAAGGUAUAAAAAGGCUUAAUUAAAAGGACCGUGAAAUGGAUGAGGCCUAGAAGUAAAAAGGCCGAAUUGCUGGGCUUGGUCCAUGAAGCCGAUCAAAAAUUGAUAGAAAAAAUAUAUAAAAAGGCCGAAUUGUUGGGCUAGGCCCAUGUAGAAAAUCGAAUUGGACCGGGCUGAAUCUUGCGCCACAUCAGAUUGCCACGCUGGAUGCCUACGUGCCCUGGGGAGGUUGCUAGUGACCAAAACGCUACAGUACAUGUAUUUUGGUCAUAAACGUCUAUGACCAUUCCAGAAGAAAGGUCGCUAUAGUCAGUUUAUGACGGCCAGCUUUUGACCUUAUGUUUUUUGUCACAAAAAGGUCACAAAUAGAAAUUUGUGACCAUUCAGUGACCAAUAGGGGUGGUCACAAGUUGACAUAUUUCUUGUAGUGGUGGAGUUUAACUGCAGCAAGCCAACUUUGACUCAGUGUCUAACCUAAACUACGACUGCAAGCAACUCUUUUGAGGUGGCGCACACGAGUCCACAUAUUCACCAUCUCAAUACACCACUAUGGAUCUGCUCCCGUCUCCCUACGAGAACGCCAUCCAUAGCACUCACGCUUAUCUUGCGCAUUUUAGAGUAUCCACUUUCACUUGUCUAUGAACUGUAUAGGCAACCAAGCAGUCCUUUACCACGGACACGACUAUUAGAAUAGAUGAUGUUAACCCUGCAGGGGUGUACUUUUUCACACACACUCUCACCACUUACCAUCGUUUACACGACAUGUACUCGGCAACCUUCAAGCGGAAGCCCAACGAGGGUGUCGGCCACGGCCUACCUAAACACUCAAGUCUCUAGUCCAGGUUUAUCGCCUAUCCAGGUUCCAUCCGCAGGGAGUCCGGCCGAGGUUUCCACAUAAGGCCCCGAACGAUGUGUACAGGGUUCCGAGACACCAAAGUGGAAGGUCGCAGGGUCACCGGCACUCAUGCCGGCGACGAGCUUUGGCGGCGGUGGUGUUCGGUGGUGCUCGGGCGCAUCGCUACGGUGCAUCAGUGAGCAAAUGGAGAGGCUGGGCAGCACCUGCUAGACACGAGGAGCACUAAGAGUAGCAUGGUAAGGCCAGGGGAGCACGGAGGCUAUGUGUGCAGCAGCAAUGGCGGACGGCGGCUCCGGUGCUCGUGGGGAACGGCGCUACGGCGUGGGGGCGAGCAUGCUGAGUUAGGGGAGAAGGUCAGUGGCUCACGGCGAUGACGGUGGGACGCUCGACGAGGUCGGGGACGGUCCGGAGCCGACGAAUUUGACGGAGAUGGCCGGCGGUCCCGAGGUUGAAGAAGGCGUCAGGGAUGGCGAUGCGGUGCUUCCCUAGUUGCUUGGCUCGAAGUGGAAGAACAGGGCGACAAUGCGGAGCUCGGGGACGCGUUGGAGAGGCGAGGGGGUGGUUGUGGCUUCGGCGACGACGAGCGGCAGCGACGGCAGCGUUCGGUCGCGGGAGAGAGAGGGCGGCAGAGGAGAGUGAGAGCGGUCCGGGGGGUGCGUGGCGUCCUCUAGGCGCUUCGGGGUGGUGAGGAGACAGGCAGGCAAGGUGGAGGUGGCCGGCGCGCGUCGGGCACGCGCCCAGCGUCCUUCUGGCGCAAGGAGGAGGAUGACUGGCACAUGGGCCUGGUGGGCUGGCUUCUCUCGUGGGCCAGGUAAGUUACAGGUAAUCCCUCCUUCUCUGUUUUCUAUUUCAAUUACUGUUUUCUAUUUUAUUUCCUCUCUGUUUGAUUUAGUUUUAACCACUAAAUCAUUUUCAUAAAUUCUGUAGGUUAUUAUAUGGCUUGCUAAACUAUAUAAAAAGCCACUCACAAACUUCUAGAAUUAUUGAAGUUAUAUUUAAUAUAUAUUAAAUAUAAAUCCAAAGCAAAUAAUUAUUGGAUUAAUUCAAAUGUCCAAAAUAAAUGUUUCUGAGCUCAUAAAAAUAUUGGUUUGAAUUUUAGCUCUUGCCAAUAAUUCUAUGGAAUAACAGGAACAUUUUAUUGGACUCAUUUGAGAAGAUUUUUAAAGUUGGUUAUUUUUGAACUGAUUUCUGAGGGUUUCAACAAACCUCAAUUCAACUUUCAGAAAUUAGACAUGAUGCAUGGAUGCUCUCUUAUGCAACUAUUGCAAACAAUUCUAGGGCUGUGACAUCUCUUUGUCUGGUGGCCCCAUGUAGUGACCCGACCUCAAACGGUCAAGUAUCUGUGCUUCAGUGUCAUCCCUGAAUCGGUAAUGCUGACACACAAUACUCGAAGGAUUUAUAACAGAGUGGCAAUCACACACUUAUUACAUCGAAUGUCUCCAAACAGAAUUUAUUACAAUAAAUAUGGCUUAAGGCCAUCUAAUAUGAUAACAGCGGAAGACUUGGAAGAUAAAGUGAGUCCAUCAACUCCAACGGCAUAGCUGAGUGCAUGACAACCGACCUAUCACGUCUUACUCCUUGUCUGAAAAGUCUGCAACAUGAUACAUUGCAGCCCGAAAAUGGGUCAACACAUGGAAUAUGUUGGCAAUGUAACACAGUAGAGCAAUGAAUAGGUAAAUUCUAUCACUACAUGCAUAUAUGGCUGGUGGAGACUCUAUGGUUAUAUGGUUUUUGCGAAAAGCCAAUUUUUCCCUACAACAAAGGAAUAUAUUUUAUUUAACUAUCAUGGUAGUUGAAACAUUGAGUGUGUUACCCCCAUAUCAAUCCCAAUUAAAAGUAAUUAUCAUCCCAACGAAUUAAAUUAGAGUGAUGAGAUACAGUAGGAUAAUCCAAGUACUAGAUACUCAAGAUGUCCAUAACCGGGGACACGGCUAAACAUGAUUGGUUUGUACACUCUACAGAGGUUUACACACUUUUCCCCACAAGACUCGAUCUCCUCCGUUGGAUUUCUUGCACUACAAGGUGUUUGAGAAACGGAUGACCGAGACACAGCCUUUCAGAAGCAUUAAGUCUUUACUUCGGGUGGAUAGUUACACCUACUUUCCCUCUACAUCUACUAGCCCACCACCGAAAGAGGUCACACAACAUACUCAACUAUGCCAGAGCCCAUAAUAGCUUGUGGCUGCACACGGAAGUUUCUAGCAUGAAUAAUCUUAUGAUCACUUUGAGCUUGGGUGGCGGACCGUAGAAGGAUCACACGGUAUAUCCCUGGGAUCUCCUAGGACAACACUGGUAUAUCCCUAGGUGCCCAAAACAAGUAAUCCACCCAGAUGUGUAUUAAAGUUUCCACCUUAAAUUGAACCAUUAAUUAACAAUCUCACAUCUGUCAUGGAUACACUCAAACCCAAUCCACGUCUAUGAGCAUAGCAUAGCAAUAUAAGCAUAACGUAGAAGUAACUCCCAGGGGUUUGAUAAUAAAACGGGUAAUAGGUUCUACCUCAUCAUCUACUUCCCAAUACCCACAAGUUAAAAGAUCCUACUCAUGCAAUGUUUGGGAAUUGAAACUAAUGCAUAAAAACUGGGUAUGAAAGAAGUAUGAUCAAUGUGUUACUUGCCUUGCUGAUCAUCCGCAAAACCUAGAGACUCAUAGUAGCAUGUUUCGCACUCCGGGUGUUCUAUCACAAACAAACAAUAGCAUACAUAAGCAAUCAAGCAAAGAUGCAUGGAUAAAUAUCAAAUAAGAAGAUCUAACCAGAAAGUUCAACUUAAUAACUCUGGUUUGCAAAAAGAAUCAAAUCAAACGGAGCAACGAAACACAAAAUGUGAAAGAAACAAGAUCGGAUUACUAAUCUGGACUAAAGUCAAAUUUUACAGUACCAAAAUCUUGUUCGAGUUGGUUAAAUGGAAAGAGGGUUUCGAGACGAAGAUCUAGGCGCUUGAAUCGCCUGAUUCCGAUAAGCGAGCGAAAAGAUAAAAUAAAACAAAAAUCGGGUCAGAAAUCACGAUAAAAAAUAAUCGCGAAAAACCCUGGAAAAAGAAAAACGAACGAAUAGGUGAUACGUCCAUUUUGCAUCAUGCCUUUAUAUCGAUAUUUAUUUCUUUAUGGGAUGUUAUUUCACUUUAUGUCAUAAUACUUAUGGCUAUUCUCUCUUAUUUUACGAGGUUUACAAAAGGAGGGAGAAUGCCGGCAGCUCGAAUUAUGGUCUGGAAAAGGAGCAAAUAUUAGAGACCUAUUCUGCGCAACUCCAAAAGUCCUGAAACUCCACGGAACGUCUUAAAAGAAAUAAAGAAAAAUCCACGCCAAAGAUGAAGGCCAGGGGGCCCACACCCUGCUCACGAGGGUGGGGGGCGCCCCCCCUAGGGCGCGCCCCCUACCUCGUGGGCCCCCUAGUGGCUCUCCGAUGUCCAUCUUCUCCUAUAUGAGGUCUUUCGAUGAGAAAAAAAUAAAAAGGAACUUUUUGGGAUGAGACUCCGCCGCCACGAGGCGGAACCUUGGAGGAUCCAAUCUAGAGCUCCGGUAGAGCUAUUCUGCCGGGGAAACUUCCCUCCGGGAGGGGGAAAUCAUCACCAUCGUCAUCACCAACGCUCCUCUCAUCGGGAGAGGGCAAUCUCCAUCAACAUCUUCACCAGCACCAUCUCAUCUCCAAAUCCUAGUUCAUCUCUUGUAUCCAAUUCUUGUCUCAAAGUCCGGGAUUGGUGCUAGUAGGUUGCUAGUAGUGUUGAUUACUCCUUGUAGUUGAUGCUAGUUGGUUUAUUUGGUGGAAGAUCAUAUGUUCAGAUCCUAUAUGCAUAUUAUUACCCCUCUAAUUAUGAACAUGAAUAUGCUUUGUGAGUAACUACGUUCGUUCCUGAGGACAAGGGAGAAGUCUUGCAAUAAGUAGUCAUGUGAAUUUGGUAUUUGUUUGAUAUUUUGAUAAGAUGUAUGUUGUCUAGCCUCUGGUGGUGUUAUAUGAACGUCGACUACAUAACACUUCGCCAUUAUUUGGGCCUAGAGGAAGGCAUUGGGAAGUAAUAAGUAGAUGAUGGGUUGCUAGAGUGACAGAAGCUUAAACCCUAGUUUAUGCGUUGUUUCGUAAGGGGCUGAUUUGGAUCCAUAUGUUUCAUGCUAUGGUUAGGUUUACCUUAAUACUUUUAAUGUAGUUGCGGAUGCUUGCAAUAGAGGUUAAUCAUAAGUGGGAUGCUUGUUCAAGUAAGAACAGCACCCAAGCACCGGUCCACCCACAUAUCAAAUUAUCAAAGUAUCAAACGCGAAUCAUAUGAACGUGAUGAAAACUAGCUUGACGAUGUUCCCAUGUGUCCUCGGGAGCGCUUUUCCUAUUAUAAGAGUUUGUUCCAUCUUGUCCUUUGCUACAAAAGUAUUGGGCCACCCUGCUGCACUUUAUUUACUUUUGUUACUCGUUGCUCGUUACAAUUCAUCCUAUCACAAAACUAUCUGUUACCACUUAUUUCAGUACUUGCAGAGAAUACCUUGCUGAAAACCGCUUAUUAUUUCCUUCUGCUCCUUGUUGGGUUCGACACUCUUUCUUAUCGAAAGGACUAUGAUAGAUCCCCUAUACUUGUGGGUCAUCAAGAAUCUUUUAUGGCGCCGUUGCCGGGGAGUGUAGCACCUUUGGUAGGUGGAAUUUGGUAAGGAAAAAUUUAUAUAGUUUGCUGAAAUUUACUGUCACUUGUUACUAUGGAAAGUAAUUCUCUGAGGGGCUUGUUCGGGGUAUCUUCACCCCGUCCAGUAGAGCAAAGAGUUGCUCCUCAACCUACUGAACCUAUUGAAAAUGGAACUCCUUUUAAAUUUCCUUCGGGUAUGAUGGAAAAACUGCUAGCUAACCCUUUUACAGGAGAUGGAACAAAGCAUCCUGAUGAGCACUUAAUAUAUGUGGAUGAAGUUUGUGGAUUAUUUAAGCUUGCAGGUAUACCCGAUGAUGUUGCUAAGAAGAAGGUCUUCCCUUUAUCUUUGAAGUGAUACGCAUUGAUAUGGUAUAUGCUAUGUGAUGAUAUUAGAUCAUGGGACUAUAAAAGAUUGAAGUUGGAAUUUCAUCAAAAGUAUUACCCUAUGCAUCUUGUUCAUCGUGAUCGCAAUUAUAUAUAUAAUUUCCGGCCUCGCGAAGGAGAAAGCAUCGCUCAAGCUUGGGGGAGGCUUAGAUUAAUGUUAUAUUCAUGCCCCAAUCAUGAGCUCCCGAGAGAAAUAAUUAUGCAAAGUUUUUAUGCUCGGCUUUCUGAAAACAAUCGCACCAUGCUUGAUACUUCUUGUGCUAGCUCUUUUAUGAUGAAGACUAUUGAAUUCAGAUGGAAUUUAUUGGAUAGAAUUAAACGCAACUAUGAAGAUUGGGACCUCGAUGAAGGUUAGGAGUCAGGUAUGACACCUAAGUGUGAUUGUGUUAAAUCUUUUAUGGACACUGAUAUUUUCUGUAAGUUUAGCACUAAAUAUGGACUUGACUCUGAGAUAGUAGCUUCUUUCUGUGAAUCUUUUGCUACUUAUGUUGAUCUCCCUAAGGAGAACUGGUUUAAAUAUCAUCCUCCCAAAGAAGUAAAAGUAGCUGCACCUAUUAAAGUUGAAGAAAAGGCUGUCACUUAAAAUGAUCCUAUUGUUCCUACUUCUUAUAUUGAGAAACCACCUUUCCCUGUUAGAAUAAAGGAUCAUGCUAAAGCUUCAACUGUUGUUCAUAAAAGCAAUAUUAGAACUUAUACACCUCCUGAGCAAGUUAAAGUAGAACCUAAUAUUGCUAUUGUUAAAGAUCUCUUGUCUGAUAAUAUUGCUGGGCAUGUUAUUCAGUUCGAAAGUGAAACUGCAACAAUUGCUAAACCUUGUGCUAAAGAUAAACAUAGACCUGUGGUAGGCGUGCCUGUUAUUUCUGUUAAAAUAGGAGAUCAUUGUUAUCAUGGCUUAUGUGAUAUGGGUCCUAGUGCUAGUGUUAUACCUCAUGACUUAUACAAAGAAAUUAAGAAUGAAAUUGCACCUGUUGAGUUAGAAGAUAUUGAUGUCACAAUCAAACUUGCUAAUAGAGAUACUAUUGCGCCAAUUGGAAUUGUUAGAGAUGUUGAAGUCUUGUGUGGGAAAACUAAAUAUCCAGCUGAUUUUCUUGUUCUUACUUCUCCGCAAGAUAGCUUUUGUCCCAUUAUAUUUGGUAGACCCUUCUUAAAUACUGUCAAUGCUACCAUAGAUUGCACUAAGAAUGGUGUUACUGUUGGCUUGGACGAUAUGGUUCAUGAGUUUAAUUUCUCUAAAUUUAGUAAACAACAUCGUGAGGAAGAAUUACCUAGUAAGGAUGAAAUUAUUGGUCUUGCUUCUAUUGCCGUACCUCCUAGUGAUCCUUUAGAAAACUAUUUGCUAGACCAUGAAAAUGAUAUGUUCAUGAAUGAAAGAAGGGAAAUAGAUGAAAUAUUCUUUAAACAGGAACCUAUUCUGCAUCACAAUUUGCCUGUUAAAAUUUUAGGGGAUCCUCCUCCACCCAAGGGUGAUCCCGUGUUUGAGCUUAAAUUUUGCCUGAUAAUCUUAAAUAUGAUUAUCUUGAUGAAAAGAAGAUAUAUCCUGUUAUUAUUAGUGCUAACCUUUCAGAGCAUGAAGAAGAAAGAUUAUUGAAAACUCUGAAGAAGCAUCGUGCUGCUAUUGGAUAUACUCUUGAUGAUCUUAAGGGCAUUAGUCCCACUCUAUGUCAACAUAAAAUAAAUUUGGCGGCAGAUGCCAAACCAGUUCGUGAUCCUCAACGAUGUCUGAAUCCUAAAAUGAAAGAAGUGGUAAGGAAACAAAUACUAAAGCUUCUGAAGGCAGGUAUAAUUUAUCUCGUUGCUGAUAGUGAGUGGGUAAGUCCUGUCCAUUGUGUCCCUAAGAAGGGAGGUAUUACUGUUGUUCCUAAUGAUAAAGAUGAAUUGAUUCCACAAAGAAUUAUCAUAGGUUAUAGGAUGGUAAUUGAUUUCCGCAAAUUAAAUAAAGAUACUAAGAAAGAUCAUUACCCCUUACCUUUUAUUGAUCAAAUGCUAGAAAGAUUAUGCAAACAUACACACUACUGCUUUCUAGAUGGUUAUUCUGGUUUCUCUCAAAUACCUGUGUCGGCUAGAGAUCAAUGAAAGACUACUUUUACAUGCCCUUUUGGUACUUUUGCUUAUAGACGUAUGUAUUUUGGUUUAUGUAAUGCACCUGCUACCUUUCAAAGAUGCAUGAUGGCUAUAUUCUCUGACUUUUGUGAAAAUAUUUGUGAGGUUUUCAUGGACGACUUUUCCGUCUAUGGUUCCUCUUUUGAUGAUUGUUUGAGCAAUCUUGAUCGAGUUUUGCAGAGAUGUGAAGAAACUAAUCUUGUCUUGAAUUGGGAAAAGUGUCACUUUAUGGUUAAUGAAGGUAUUGUCUUGGGGCACAAAGUUUCUGAAAGAGGUAUUGAAGUUGAUAAAGCCAAGGUUGAUGCUAUUGAAAAGAUGCCAUGUCCCAAGGACAUCAAAGGUAUAAGAAGUUUCCUUGGUCACGCCGGAUUUUAUAGGAGGUUCAUUAAGGACUUCUCAAAAAUUUCUCGGCCUUUGACUAAUUUAUUGCAAAAAUAUAUACCAUUUGUCUUUGAUGAUGAUUGUGUAGAACCAUUUGAAAUACUUAAGAAAGCAUUGGUCUCUGCACCUGUUGUUCAGCCACCUGAUUGGAACCUACCCUUUGAAAUUAUGUGUGAUGCUAGUGAUUAUGCUGUAGGUGUUGUUCUAGGGCAAAGAGUUGAUAAGAAAUUAAAUGUUAUUCAUUAUGCUAGUAAGACUCUAGACAAUGCUCAAAGAAAUUAUGCUACUACUGAAAAAGAGCUUUUAGCAGUUGUAUUUGCUUGUGAUAAGUUCAGAUCUUAUAUUGUUGAUUCUAAAGUAACUAUUCAAACUGAUCAUGCUGCUAUUAAAUAUCUUAUGGAAAAGAAAGAUGCUAAACCUAGACUUAUUAGAUGGGUUCUCUUGCUACAAGAAUUUGAUUUGCAUAUUGUUGAUAGAAAGGGAGCUGAGAACCCCGUUGCAGACAACUUGUCUAGGUUAGAAAAUAUUCUUGAUGACCCACUACCUAUUAAUGAUAGCUUUCCUCAUGAACAAUUAAAUGUUAUAAGUACUUCUCGUAGUACUCCAUGGUAUGCUGAUUAUGCUAAUUAUAUUGUUGCUAAAUUUAUACCACCUAGCAUCACAUACCAACAAAAUAAAAAGUUUUUCUAUGGUUUAAGACAUUACUUUUGGGAUGACCCACAUCUUUAUAAAGAAGGAGUAGAUGGUGUUAUGAGAUGUUGUGUACCUGACCAUGAACAGGAACAGAUCCUACGCAAGUGUCACUCUGAGUCUUAUGGAGGACACCACGCUGGAGAUAGAACUGCACAUAAGGUAUUGCAAUCUGGUUUUUAUUGGCCUACUCUCUUCAAGGAUGCCCGUGAGUUUGUCUUGUCUUGUGAUGAAUGUCAAAGAAUUGGUAAUAUUAGUAGACGUCAAGAAAUGCCUAUGAAUUAUUAUCUUGUUAUUGAACCGUUUGAUGUUUGGGGCUUUGAUUAUAUGGGACCUUUUCCUGCCUCUAAUGGAUACACACAUAUUCUAGUUGCUGUUGAUUACAUUACUAAGUGGGUAGAAGCUAUUCCAACUAGUAGUGCUGAUCACAACACUUCUAUUAAAAUGCUUAAAGAAGUUAUUUUUCCGAGGUUUGGAGUCCCUAGAUAUUUAAUGAUUCAUGGUGCUUUCUGUAAAAUGCUUGCUAAAUAUGAUGUUAAUCAUAGAAUUGCAUCUCCUUAUCACCCAUAGUCUAGUGGUCAAGUAGAGUUGAGCAAUAGAGAGCUCAAAUUAAUUUUGCAAAAGACUGUUAAUAGGUCUAGAAAGAAUUGGUCCAAGAAACUUGAUGAUGCAUUAUGGGCUUAUAGAACUGCAUACAAAAAUCCUAUGGGUAUGUCUCCAUAUAAAAUGGUUUAUGGAAAAGCAUGACACUUACCUCUUUAACUAGAACAUAAGGCAUAUUGGGCUAUUAAAGAGCUCAACUAUGAUUUUAAACUUGCCGGUGAGAAGAGGUUAUUUGAUAUUAGCUCACUUGAUGAAUGGAGAACCCAAGCUUAUGAAAAUGCCAAGUUGUUUAAAGAAAAGGUUAAAAGAUGGCAUGACAAAAGGAUACAAAAGCAUGAUUUUAAUGUAGGUGAUUAUGUAUUGCUAUACAACUCUUGUUUAAGAUUUUUUGCAGGAAAACUUCUCUCUAAAUGGGAAGGCCCCUAUGUUAUCGAAGAGGUCUAUCGUUCCGUUGCCAUAAAAAUCAACAACUUCGAGGGCACAAAUCCGAAGGUGGUAAACGGUCAAAGAAUUAAACAUUAUAUCUCAGGUAAUCCCAUAAAUGUGGAAACCAAUAUUAUUGAAACCAUAACCCCGGAGGAAUACAUAAUAGACACUUUUCGGAACGUUUCAGACUCCGAAAAGGAAUAGGUAUGUGAUACGGUAAGUAAACCGACUCCAAAACAAUUUUUAAGGCAAUAUUUCUCCGUUUUGGAAUAUUUAGAAAAAUAAAAAAAUAAGUAGCAGUCCGGGAAGGACAUGAGGGCCCCACGAGGGUGGUGGGCGCGCCCUACCCCCUGGGCGCGCCCCCUACCUCGUGAGCACCUCGUGUGCCCUCCGGACUCCGUUUUCUUGCACGAUAUGUAUUUUGGUCGGUAAAAAUUCAUUAUAUAUUCUCCCGAAGGUUUUCACUCUUUUAUCAUGCAAAUUUCCUCUGUUUUUGUUUUCGAGCUGUUGCUACUGCAGAUUAGAGCAAGAUGUCUUCUCAAGAGUCAAUCAGGGAGAGUCAGGUAUCUAAUCCGGCACCGGAACCAAGGGCAAACAGCAAAGCUGACCACUUUGGGCUAGCAACGGAGGAAGAGAUGGAGGCUGACAUAAAGAGAGUAGAUGCCAUGGAGGAUCAAGAAGUCACCUCUCGCCUCCGAGCUGGGUUCACGAUGGGGGAACUACAGAGCUCAGCUAUUCCAAACUCGGUUAUCCCUUCUAAUGUUAAAUUUCUUUCUUAUGAAAAUAUGAAGAGGAGUGUCACUUGUUCUCCCGCAGCUAUGCAACACCCUUAGGUGCAAGGAGCUUUAGCUGUCACAAGAAAGCUUCAUAAGGAAAUAAUGGACCUCAAACAGCAAGUCAAUAAGCUCGAUGAGGAGAACCGCAUCCUGAGGGGAAUCAUCACCAAGAAUAUUACACCGACAACAAAGAAGGAGACAUAAUCACAUGAGUACGGGCACUCCCCUUGGCAACUGCCAAGCUUGGGGGACAUGCCCCGGUAUCGUAUCACAAUCACAACUCCUAUAUUUACCGUUUUUCUUAGUUCGAUCCUAUUAGUAGUAUCCUGAUCUAGUAGAAUAAAGUUUAUGGCAUGAUCUAGUUUUGAGUUUUGCUUUAUGAUCUUUCUAUGUAAUCGAGUCCGUGAGCUAUAUAUAAUAAAGAUUAGUGUUGAAUCAAGGGCUUGAUUAUUUUGCCAUGAUCUUGGGUGAAUAAAAGAAAUGAGAAAAGAAUAAAAAGAAACAAAAAGUUCAUAUUGAUCUUAUUGAGAGUUAUGUCUUCACAUAGAAAGAGUAUGAUGAUUAAAAGUUGUUGGGAGUUGGCAGACAUAGCUUUGGUCAUUGUUGCAAUUAAUAGGAAGUAAUAAGGAAAGAGAGGUUUUCACAUAUAGAUAUAUUAUCAUUGACAUCUUUUAUGAUUGGGAGCACUCAUUAAAAUAUGACAUGCUAAAGAGUUGAUGUUGGACAAGGAAGACAAUGUAAUGAGUUAUGUAUUUCUUAUAUCUGAGAUAAAGUAUGUUGUCAUGGAUCCUCUAACUUGUUGAGCUUGCCUUUCCCCCUCAUGCUAGCCAAAUUCUCAGCACCAAGUAGAAAUACUACUUGUGCUUCCAAAUAUCCUUAAACCAGUUUCACCAUGAGAAGAUUGAGGCUCUAACUAAAGAACUAAAAACUCUUAAGUUAGCUCAUGACACUAUCUUCGAAGAUCAUCGAGAACUUUUAAGAGCUCAUGAGAAACUACGCUUUGAAAAUCUCAAUCUUGAGCAAGAGCAUGAGUUCUUAAAGGCAAUCAAUGAUGAUCUCCGCAAGAAAAGUUCUUCUUACAUUGCCAAACGUUUACUCUUAUCCACUUACAUGCCUCAAGUCAAGUCUAACAAGAAAGAUUCUUCCUCUAGUAGUAACAAUGAUCAUGCUAAAUCCAAUAUUGUUGCUUCUAGUAGUUCUCUUGAUUCCACUAAUGAUUCUCUUAGCCAAGUUACACUUGAGCAAGAAAAUAGCUUAUUGAAGGGAAUUAUAGAGAAAGGAGUGUACAAAAGCCUUGUCGGGAGUAAGCAAUUCGAGGAAAUUGUGCGCAAGCAAGGAAUGCACCGGAAGAAUCAAGGUGUUGGUUUUGAACGAAAGUUCAAUGCCAAUGGAGUUGAAUGGGAAUAAGAUCAAUACCCCAAGAAAAAGUUUGUCCCUCAACAAGAGAAGUAUACUUCUUUCAAGGGGACACAAGCUCAAGAUGAUCUUCCACCACAAGACUACGAGCAAAAAGGCAAGGAAAAGCUUCAAGAGGAAAUUGAUGCAUUUGAAGAAGCUCCUAAGACCUUAGUCAAGUGGAUUCCCAAGACUACUUCAAGUUCCACUUCAUCAAGUACGACUACAACUCCAAGGAUUCCCAUCAAGAUGAUGUGGAUCCAAAAGAAGAAGAACUAGAGAGUUCUUGAGGGUGACUCCGCCAACAUACUUCACUCUUAUCAUUUUGGCAAGAACAAGUGCAAUCAACUUCCACAUCUUGCACUAGUUCAAGGAGUCACAAACCCUCUUGUUGGUAAGACAAGGGACAAGGUAACCUAAAAGUUUUCAUGGACAUCAUCUUUUGUGUGCAUCACUCUAUGUCUAUGGAUAUCCUUGUUUGUUCCUUGUGGGACUAACCCAUGUAGGUGUUGAAAGUGCAAUUCACUCAAAUGGAUAGCUCCAAGAGAUCUACAUCAACAUUGAGCAUCCACAUCUUCAAUGUCUACACGAAGUCAUCAUUGACAAAACCCAAGGUUAGUUCAUCCCUCUUAGGGGGGAUAUCACAUCUAGGGGGAGCUUUACUCUAAGACUUGAGCUAAAGCAACUCUAAAGAUGUGAACACAACAAUGCUUUAUGUAAAAGUGGUAACCCCACUUGAGCUUACACAAUGAGUAUGACCUAUGAUCAAGUGUUCUCACUUGACUCCUAAGUCAAUGUACUCAUAUAUAGAUGACCUAGUCAUCGCAAAUUGCUUGAUAAAUGCUAGAAUUGGUUGUGCAUGCCUUGCCACAUAUUUCAUUUGCCAUCUUAUUGUGUGAGCAUGCUGAUUUCAUAUUUUACUCAUUCGAGGACAUCCACUUGUUGUUUUGAUUGCUUGGUUUUAUCCUCUUUUGCCAAGUGGAUGGACAAGAAUGCCUAAGAACGUCCUCUAGCUAUCUAUGCUUUUCUCGUCUCAAACUCUAUUCAUGCUGCAUCACAAAAUUUGAUCAAGUCAGAUUCGAACCACUCUAUGUGAGGAGCGCUCGGAGUCCCCGAUUCAUCAUAGACUUAAACUUCCAAAACCUCUUUAUGAUUCUCGGUCUGACCGAUACUCCACUUUCGGUCCUACCAAGAUCAUUAAGUUGAUCUAGGUUUUCGAUCUCGGUGCAACCGAUUUGAACCUUUCGGUCACACCGAGUUUCAGUAACUGCACGCAGUUAUGAAUCUCGGUGCCACCGAGUUGUUCCACUCGGUCACACCGACAGGGUCGGGCUAUAUAUAGUCACGGGUAAAAUUUGGAAAUUUCUCCGAACCCCUUCGCCCGCGCGAUAGCCUGCUCUGCCCUCGAGGUCUUCGGAUCGUCUUCUCGCCGCCAGCAGCCUCCAGUCGCUAGUCUCCGUCGCCAUCAACGGAAAUUCUGCCCCGCCGUUGCCGUCGUAGCAAGUCCCCGCCGAACUAGGGUAUGGACUUGAUCUUUGUGCUAUUCCUCAAUCUGAUUCCUAGCACAUUGUGAUCAUAUUGUUUCUAGCCAUGUUUGAUAAACUUCUAUCCAGUCAAAACGCUCAUAGAUUAGGUUUGAUUCGAAAAUUCUAGGUUUAGGUUUCCGCCGAAACUAUCUCGGACCCACCGAGUUGAAAAACUAGGUCCCACCGAUUUGGCUUAUGCCAUUGCACAAGUGAGACUCGGUCUGACCGAGAAUUACUUAUCGGUGUGACCGAUUUUUGAACUCAGUGAAACCCUAGCAGUCCCGGUGCCACCGAACUGUGACUCGGUCCUACCGAGUUCACUAGUUUAGGUUCCAAAACUGCUUCGGUAUCACCGAGUUUGAAAAUCGGUAGAUCCGAGAUGAUUUCAGUGGGAAACUAAAACUAAGUUUUUGGAUCAUUCUUUUUGCAAAAAUCUCUGCAUUUUGUGAUGCUCAUCCACUCUAUCUCCUCUAUAAUCUAUUCACAGGGUCAGCAGUCAGUUUGCAGCAUGUCAGACCAGAGUGAUAGCCAGAAUCUGUCAGAGCAGCAAGUGGUGAUGAGUGAGGGCACUAGUCCCUCCAGUUCAUCUGAUGAAGGCAGCAGGAGCACUCCUAGCAAUUUGCCAAAGGCUGCCACGAGACAAAGGAAGAAGAAAACUUCAGACUCUGAAGAUGAGGACUAUGUGGCAGAGGAAGAGGCCACUUCCAAGAGAAUUGAACCAACUCAAGGCACUAAGCCAGGUCUAAAAAUCAAAAGGCCAGCAGGCAGGCAGCCCAUGUCAAAGGCUAGAGCCUCAACUGAGAAGCCCACUUCCCAAGAGCCAGCUACAGCUAAGGGCAAGAAAAGGAAGGAGAGGGUGAAGAAGACUGUGGCUAGAGUGCUUGGCAACGCUUCCAUCAUGGAAGAGGAAGAGGAAGAAGAGGCAACUGCACCAGCGCCCAAGGCACCCAAGCUAAUGGGAGAUGCCAUAAGGUUAGGGGGAGUUGCAUCGAAGCCCAAGGAAGCACCUAAGGCUGCAUCUAAGCCUAAGAGUGCACCAAAGAGAAACACAAGAAGCAUCCCAGCCACUGAGAAGAACAAGGCCCCAGUGCCUAAAGCUGCAGAGGAAGAGGAAGAGAAUGUCCUUCGGAAGCUCAAGCCCAAGAUCCCAGACCACAACGAUGCUCAUCCUGUGGAUGAGGAUAUGAAGCUCAGGAGAGACUCAGGGCUCAGGAAGUGGAGAGAAGCAGAUCCAUAUGCUUCUAGGAGAAGGACUGAAGUGGACUACAGGUUUCAUACCAAGGAGCAGCAGGAUUUCUAUGAGACAGUGCUACUUGACAAGAAGCCAAUUGUAUGUGACAUGAGAUGGGUCGACUGGACCUAUAUCAAGGACAAUGAAGAGUACUACCCUGGAGUAUUUGACAGCUUUAGUGCGUGUGGAGUUGCAGACUUUGUUGGGAAGAAGCUCACAAAGUGGAACGAGGAGCUAAUCAUGCAAUUCUACUCCAUAGCACACUUUUAUCCGGAUGGCAGGAUCACAUGGAUGUCAGAGGGUACAAGGUACCACUCUACUGUGGAGGAAUGGGCGAAGCUGAUCAAUGCCCCAGAGGAGCAAGCAGAUGAUUUGGACAUUUAUGCCAAGAAAAAGAUGGACCGCAACUCCAUGUCCAACAUGUACAAGGAGAUUUCGAAUGAAGCACUUGACACGUUCAAGUUUGGCUCAGUGCAUUAUCUGCUAUCAGGAUUGCCUACGAUCAACUGGAUCCUUAGGCACACCCUUCUGCCCAAGUCUGGAGAUCACAAGAUGAUCAGAGGUCACGCGAUCAAUUUGCUUCAUGUCUUUGACGUGCCUCAAAAAUUCAAAGUCAUGAGCCUCAUAGUGGAAACAAUCAAAAGGACUGCGGCAGAUCAGAAGAGGAGCUGUGGAUAUGCCCCUUAGAUUCAGGAGCUCAUCAACUCCAAGAUGGGCACGGGCGUAUAUUUGGUGGAUAAGGAACACCUGCCCAUCCGUCCAGAUUUCGAAGAUAAUCAAGUUGUUAUGACUGAGAAAGAACCAUCAUCUGCCCAUGCACAAGCUCAGAAGGAGAAGGCGAAGAAGGAGAAAGCUGCUAGGAUGCCUACUCAAGCAGAGGCAUCUGAUUACUUCCUGAAAACCAAACAAGAGCAGCUUGGUUACCUGAUUGCGUCCACCCUGCGGAUUGAGCAGAGUAUAGCCACCCUGACUCAGAACCAGGCGAGUUUAGAGAGGAUCAUGGAACAGAGGUUCUAUGACUUGGACAUCAAGGUGACAGAGAUACAGACUGCCGUGGAGCAGCUCCAGGAGGACAUGAAUGAGAGGAGAGGCAGGACCACGACUGGUGCUUUUGCGAGGGUGCCACGAGGUCCGAGGUCGUCUGCACUGCCAGUUGCUGACACCAGAGCUACAACGUCUGCACCAGCCAUAGCCUCAGUUCCACCAGCUCCAGCAUCCACUUCAGCCUCGACUCCGACCACGUCUACCGAAGGCUUCGUCCUUGGAGUGCUCCGGACUCCACCACCACCUGAAGAUCAAGCCUGAGCAUCGAUCUAGUGCUAUGCAUUUUCUAGGAACUUUUUGGUAACUUGUUGCCAACGGGGGAGAAGAUGUAUAGAUCAUAGGCUUCGAGAGAGAGAGAGUGUGUUGCUUUUAUCUCUUGCUUUAUUUGGUGGUUUUUCGAACUUAUCUGCUUUUGAGUGCUUGAUACUACGUCAUUAUUUGUGAGACAUUGAUGAUCAUGUGUUUGAUCAUAAGCUACACUUAAUGCUUGCUUAAUGCCAUUAUCCUAUCUAUCUUGUGUGAUCAUUCAUUAUUCUUGGUGAUGAGUGCAUGUAUUUCAUUCUUAUCAUUUUGAGCGCUCCACCAAGAUGUAUGUGACAUGGAAGAGUAACCCAUGACUCUAACUCUUUGUGCAUUUGCAGUCCAAAGCAAAUUUUAAAUAUGCACAAAUUUAGGGGGAGCUCUUACUUAUCACAUACUUCUCAAAGCGACGAUAUAUUUCAUGCUUAUUAUCAUUUGUCGAAGCUUUGAUCUAUAUGUUGUCAUCAAUUACCAAAAAGGGGGAGAUUGAAAGUGCAACUAUCCCUAGGUGGUUUUGGUAAUUCAUAACAACAUAUAGCUCAUUGAGCUAAUGCUAUUCCAAGAUGAUUAUUUCAGGAAAGCUCAAUGAUUGGCAUGGCAUGGAUGUGAAAGUGGAACCCUCAAAAUGCUAAGGACAAAGGAUUGGCUCAAGCUCAAAAGCUCAAGACUCUUCAUUUUAUAUUUUAGUGAUCCAAGAUCACAUUGAGUCUUUAGGAAAAGCCAAUACUAUUAAGGAGGGAUAAGGUGUUGCUUAAUGAGACUCUUGCUUCAUGUGCUUAGUGAUAUGCUCCAAAACCCUCAACUACUUUCCCAUAUCCACAUAUGACCUAAACCCUAAGCCAAACUCGGUCCUACCGAUUCUUCCUAUCCGGCGCCACCGAGUUUCACUUGUCAUUAGCCACUGCCAAACCCUAGCAAUUCGGUUCUACCGAUAAGGAUCUCGGUCUCACCGAGAUGGGGUUGCAAACUCUCUGUUUCCCUUUCGUAACUUUUCGGUCUUACCGAAAGAGCGAAUCGGUCCCACCGAGAUUGCAAUGUAAACUCAGUGUUUCCCUUUGUAACUUUUCGGUCUCACCGUGUUCCACUCGGUCUCACCGAAAGAGCAAAUCGGUCCCACCGAGUUUGCCUGACCAACUCUCUGGUUAGCUAAUUACCAAAUUCGGUCUCACCGAGUUUGUGUAAUCGGUCUCACCGAGAUUACGUUAUGCCCAAACCCUAACUGAAUCGGUCCUACCGAGUUGCAUGUCAGUCCCACCGAAAUUCCUAACGGUCACUAGGUUUACUAUUUCGGUCAGACCGAGUUUUCUGAUUCGGUCCCACCGAGAUUGGUAAAUUGUAUGUAACGGUUGGAUUUUGUGUGGAGGCUAUAUAUACCCCUCCACCUCCUUCUCAUGACAAAAGAGAGCCAUCAGAACACACACACCAUUCCAACUCAUAUGUUCUGAGAGAGAACCACCUACUCAUGUGUUGAGAUCAAGACAUUCCAUUCCGACCAUAUGAAUCUUGAUCUCUAGCCUUCCCAAGUUGCUUUCCACAAAAACCCUCUUUCCACCAAAUCCAAAUCCUAUGAGAGAGAGUUGAGUGUUGGGGAGACUAUCAUUUGAAGCACAAGAGCAAGGAGUUCAUUACCUACACACCAUUUGUUACUUCUUGGAGAGUGGUGUCUCCUAGAUUGGCUAGGUGUCAUUUGGGAGCCUCCGACAAGAUUGUGGAGUUGAACCAAGGAGUUUGUAAGGGCAAGGAGAUCGCCUACUUUGUGAAGAUCUACCACUAGUGAAGCAAGUCCAGUGUGGGCGAUGGCCAUGGUGGGAUAGACAAGGUUGCUUCUUCGUGGACCCUUUGUGGGUGGUUGCUUCUUCGUGGACCCUUCGUGGGUGGAGCCCUGUGUGGACUCGCGCAACCGUUGCCCUUUGGUGGAGCCCUGUGUGGACUCGCGCAACCAUUACCCUUCGUGGGUUGAAGUCUCCAUCAACGUGGAUGUAGGAUAGCACCACCUAUCCGAACCAUGGGAAAAACAUCCGUGUCUCCAAUAGCGUUUGAAUUCUCCAAACCCUUCCCUUUACAUUCUCGCAAGUUGCAUGCUUUACUUUCCGCUGCCCAUAAACUCUUUGCAUGCUUGCUUGAGUGAUGUGAUGAUUGCUUGACUUGUCCUAAAUUAGCUAAAAUCUGCCAAGACCUAAAAUCGGGAAAAGGUUAAGUUUUAUUUGGUCAAGUAGUCUAAUCACCCCCCCCCCUCUAGACAUACUUUCGAUCCUACAAGUGGUAUCAGAGCCUUGGUCUCCAUUUGCUUGAUCUCCAUAGCUUUUGGUGGUCAUAGCCUUGGUUUCACAACCUAGGAGAGUAUGGCGUCUAGCGAGGGAAAUUAUCACCGUAGAGGUCCUUACUUUGAUGGUACUAAUUUUGCUAGUUGGAAGCAUAAAAUGAAAAUGCAUAUUCUUGGACAUAACCCCGCUAUUUGGGCUAUUGUGUGUGUUGGUUUGCAAGGUGACUUCUUUGACGGGAGAGAACCAAACCGUGAAGCUACCGCGGAUGAGUUGAAGACGUUGCAAUACAAUGCUCAAGCUUGUGAUAUUCUCUUCAAUGGAUUGUGCCCCGAAGAAUUCAACAAAAUCAGCCGCCUUGAGAAUGCAAAGGAAAUUUGGGACACUUUGAUUGAUAUGCACGAAGGUACCGACUCCGUCAAGGAAUCCAAGUUGGAUGUGCUUCAAAGCCAACUUGACAAGUUCAAGAUGAAGGAUGGUGAAGGUGUCGCUGAAAUGUACUCUAGGCUUGCUCUCAUCACAAAUGAGAUUGGCGGCUUAGGAAGUGAAGAGAUGACUGAUAGAUUCAUCAUCAAGAAGAUCCUAAGAGCCUUGGAUGGAAAAUAUGAUACCGUGUGCACAUUGAUCCAAAUGAUGCCCAAUUACAAAGAUCUCAAGCCAACGGAGGUGAUUGGAAGAAUUGUUGCUCAUGAGAUGUCACUUAAGGAUAAAGAGGAACUUCUCAACAAAUCAAGUGGUGCCUAUAAAGCCUCAUGUGAAGCCCCUACAUCAUCAAGUGAGAAACAAGACUUCAAUGAAGAAUUGAGCUUAAUGGUGAAGAACUUCAACAAGUUCUACAAGAGUAGAAGCAAAGAUAGAAGCUCCAAGUCAAGGUCCUACAAUGACAAAAGUUCUUCUAGUAGAGAGCGAAACUGUUACAAUUGUGGAAGACCCGGACACUAUUCCAAUGAGUGUACGGCUCCCUACAAGAGAAGAGAAGAUUCUCCAAAAAGAAGAAGCAAAGGAUCACCACCAAGAGAGAGAAGGAGUAAAGAUGAUCGUUAUGAACGAAGAUACUCACGGAGAAGCAAGGAUUCGGAAAGGAAGGAAAAAUCAUCAAGGAGCUACACAAGGCGAAGACAUCAAGCUCAUGUUGGUUAAUGGGUAUCCGGCUCCGACUCCGACAGCCACUUCGAGAGAAGUUAUCACUCCGACUCCGAAGAUACUCAAGAUGAAGGUGUUGCCGGUCUAGCACUUGUGUCAAGCAACUCCUACGACAUAUUUGACUCACCAAAUGAAGGAAUUGGAAGAUGCUUCAUGGCCAAAGGUCCUAAGGUAACACACCCCGAGUAUGUUGAUUUCAAUAGUGAUGAAGAUGACUUGUUAGGUGAUGAUUUGCUUGGUGACAACUCUAGUGAUGAAUACUAUGAUGAAAGGCCAAUUAAUCAUGCUAAAACGAGUGACAAUGAUAAGGAGAAGAUUGAGGCUCUAACUAAAGAACUAAAAACUCUUAAGUUAGCUCAUGACACUAUCUUCGAAGAUCAUCGAGAACUUUUAAGAGCUCAUGAGAAACUACGCUUUCAAAAGCUCAAUCUUGAGCAAGAGCAUGAGUUCUUAAAGGCAAUCAAUGAUGAUCUCCGCAAGAAAAGUUCUUCUUACAUUGCCAAACGUUUCCUCUUAUCCACUUACAUGCCUCAAGUCAAGUCUAACAAGAAAGAUUCUUCCUAGUAGUAACAAUGAUCAUGCUAAAUCCAAUAUUGUUGCUUCUAGUAGUUCUCUUGAUUCCAUUAAUGAUUCUCUUAGCCAAGUUACACUUGAGCAAGAAAAUAGCUUAUUGAAGGGAAUUAUAGAGAAAGGAGUGUACAAAAGCCUUGCCAGGAGUAAGCAAUUCGAGGAAAUUGUGCGCAAGCAAGGAAUGCACCGGAAGAAUCAAGGUGUUGGUUUUGAACGAAAGUUCAAUGCCAAUGGAGUUGAAUGGGAAGAAGAUCAAUACCCCAAGACAAAGUUUGUCCCUCAACAAGAGAAGUAUACUUCUUUCAAGGGGACACAAGCUCAAGAUGAUCUUCCACCAUAAGACUACGAGCAAAAAGGCAAGGACAAGCUUCAAGAGGAAAUUGAUGCAUUUGAAGAAGCUCCUAAGACCUUAGUCAAGUGGAUUCCCAAGACUACUUCAAGUUCCACUUCAUCAAGUACGACUACAACUCCAAGGAUUCCCAUCAAGAUGAUGUGGAUCCAAAAGAAGAAGAACUAGAGAGUUCUUGAGGGUGACUCCGCCAACAUACUUCACUCUUAUCAUUUUGGCAAGAACAAGUGCAAUCAACUUCCACAUCUUGCACUAGUUCAAGGAGUCACAAACCCUCUUGUUGGUAAGACAAGGGACAAGGUAACCUAAAAGUUUUCAUGGACAUCAUCUUUUGUGUGCAUCACUCUAUGUCUAUGGAUAUCCUUGUUUGUUCCUUGUGGGACUAACCCAUGUAGGUAUUGAAAGUGCAAUUCACUCAAAUGGAUAGCUCCAAGAGAUCUACAUCAACAUUGAGCAUCCACAUCUUCAAUAUCUACAUGAAGUCAUCAUCGGCAAAACCCAAAGUUAGUUCAUCCCUCUUAGGGGGGAUAUCACAUCUAGGGGGAGCUUUACUCUAAGACUUGAGCUAAAGCAACUCUAAAGAUGUGAACACAACAAUGCUUUAUGUAAAAGUGGUAACCCCACUUGAGCUUAAACGAUGAGUAUGACCUCUAAUCAAGUGUUCUCACUUGACUCCUAAGUCAAUGUACUCAUAUAUAGAUGACCUAGUCAUCGCAAAUUGCUUGAUAAAUGCUAGAAUUGGUUGUGCAUGCCUUGCCACAUAUUUCAUUUGCCAUCUUAUUGUGUGAGCAUGCUGAUUGCAUAUUUUACUCAUUCAAGGACAUCCAGUUGUUGUUUUGAUUGCUUGGUUUUAUCCUCUUUUGCCAAGUGGAUGGACAAGAAUGCCUAAGAACGUCCUCUAGCUAUCUAUGCUUUUCUCGUCUCAAACUCUAUUCAUGCUGCAUCACAAAAUUUGAUCAAGUCAGAUUCGAACCACUCUGUGUGAGGAGCGCUCGGAGUCCCCGAUUCGUCAUAGACUUAAACUUCCAAAACCUCUUUAUGAUUCUCGGUCUAACCGAUACUCCACUUUCGGUCCUACCGAGAUCAUUAAGUUGAUCUAGGUUUUCGAUCUCGGUGCAACCAAUUUGAACCUUUCGGUCAUUCUGAGUUUCAGUAACUGCACGCAGUUAUGAAUCUCGAUGCCACCGAGUUGUUCCACUCGGUCACACCGACAGGGUCGGGCUAUAUAUAGUCACGGGCAAAAUUUGGAAACUUCUCCGAACCCCUUCGCCCGCGCGAUAGCCUGCUCUGCCCUCAAGGUCUCCAGAUCGUCUUCUCGCCGCCAGCAGCCUCCAGUCACUGGUCUCCGUCGCCGUCAACAGAAAUUCUGCCCCGCCGUUGGCGCCGUAGCAAGUCCCUGCCGAACUAGGGUAUGGACUUGAUCUUUGUGCUAUUCCUCAAUCUGAUUCCUAGCACAUUAUGAUCAUAUUGUUUCUAGCCACGUUUGAUAAACUUCUAUCUAGUCAAAACGCUCAUAGAUUAGGUUUGAUUCGAAAAUUCUAGGUUUAGGUUUCCGCCGAAACUAUCUCGGACCCACCGAGUUGAAAAACUCGGUCCCACCGAUUUGGCUUAUGCCAUUGCACAAGUGAGACUCAGUCUGACCGAGAAUUACUUAUCGGUGUGACCGAUUUUUGAACUCAGUGAAACCCUAGCAGUCUCGGUGCCACCGAACUAUGACUCGGUCCUACCGAGUUCACUAAUUUAGGUUCCAAAACUGCUUUGGUAUCACCGAGUUUGAAAAUCGGUAGAUCCGAGAUGAUUUCAGUGGGAAACUAAAACUAAGUUUUUGGAUCAUUCUUUUUGCAAAAAUCUCUGCAUUUUGUGAUGCUCAUCCACUCUAUCUCCUCUAUAAUCUAUUCACAGGGUCAGCAGUCAGUUUGCAGCAUGUCAGACCAGAGUGAUAGCCAGAAUCUGUCAGAGCAGCAAGUGGUGAUGAGUAAGGGCACUAGUCCCUCCAGUUCAUCUGAUGAAGGCAGUAGGAGCACUCCUAGCAAUUUGCCAAAGGCUGCCACGAGACAUAGGAAGAAGAAAACUUCAGACUCUGAAGAUGAGGACUAUGUGGCAGAGGAAGAGGCCACUUCCAAGAGAAUUGAACCAACUCAAGGCACUAAGCCAAGUCUGAAAAUCAAAAGGCCAGCAGGCAGGCAGCCCAUGUCAAAGGCUAGAGCCUCAACUGAGAAGCCCACUUCCCAAGAGCCAGCUACAGCUAAGGGCAAGAAAAGGAAGGAGAGGGUGAAGAAGACUGUGGCUAGAGUGCUUGGCAAAGCUUCCAUCAUGGAAGAGGAAGAGGAAGAAGAGGCAGCUGCACCAGCGCCCAAGGCACCCAAGCUAAUGAGAGAUGCCAUAAGGUUAGGGGGAGUUGCAUCGAAGCCCAAGGAAGCACCUAAGGCUGCAUCUAAGCCUAAGAGUGCACCAAAGAGAAACACAAGAAGCAUCCCAGCCACUGAGAAGAACAAGGCCCCAGUGCCUAAAGCUGCAGAGGAAGAGGAAGAGAAUGUCCUUCGGAAGCUCAAGCCCAAGAUCCCAGACCACAACGAUGCUCAUCCUGUGGCUGAGGAUAUGAAGCUCAGGAGGGACUCAGGGCUCAGGAAGUGGAGAGAAGCAGAUCCAUAUGCUUCUAGGAGAAGGACUGCAGUGGACUACAGGUUUCAUACCAAGGAGCAGCAGGAUUUCUAUGAGACAGUGCUACUUGACAAGAAGCCAAUUGUAUGUGACAUGAGAUGGGUCGACUGGACCUAUAUCAAGGACAAUGAAGAGUACUACCCUGGAGUAUUUGACAGCUUUAGUGCGUGUGGUGUUGCAGACUUUGUUGGGCAGAAGCUCACAAAGUGGAACGAGGAGCUAAUCAUGCAAUUCUACUCCACAGCACACUUUUAUCCGGAUGGCAGGAUCACAUGGAUGUCAGAGGGUACAAGGUACCACUCUACUGUUGAGGAAUGGGCGAAGCUGAUCAAUGCCCCAGAGGAGCAAGCAGAUGAUUUGGACAUUUAUGCCAAGAAAAAGAUGGACCACAACUCCAUGUCCAACAUGUACAAGGAGAUUCCGAAUGAAGCACUUGACACGUUCAAGUUUGGCUCAGUGCAUUAUCUGCUAUCAGGAUUGCCUACGAUCAACUGGAUCCUUAGGCACACCCUUCUGCCCAAGUCUGGAGAUCACAAGAUGAUUAGAGGUCACGCGAUCAAUUUGCUUCAUGUCUUUGACGUGCCUCAAAAAUUCAAAGUCAUGAGCCUCAUAGUGGAAACAAUCAAAAGGACUGCGGCAGAUCAGAAGAGGAGCUGUGGAUAUGCCCCUUAGAUUCAGGAGCUCAUCAACUCCAAGAUGGGCACGGGCGUAUAUUUGUUGGAUAAGGAACACCUGCCCAUCCGUCCAGAUUUCGAAGAUAAUCAAGUUGUUAUGACUGAGAAUGAACCAUCAUCUGCCCAUGCACAAGCUCAGAAGGAGAAGGCGAAGAAGGAGAAAGCUGCCAGGAUGCCUACUCAAGCGGAGGCAUCUGAUUACUUCCUGAAAACCAAACAAGAGCAGCUUGGUUACCUGAUUGCGUCCACCCUGCGGAUUGAGCAGAGUAUAGCCACCCUCACUCAGAACCAGGCAAGUUUAGAGAGGAUCAUGGAACAGAGGUUCUAUGACUUGGACAUCAAGGUGACAGAGAUACAGACUGCCGUGGAGCAGCUCCAGGAGGACAUGAAUGAGAGGAGAGGCAGGACCACGACUGAUGCUUUUGCAAGGGUGCCACGAGGUUCGAGGUCGUCUGCACUGCCAGUUGCUGACACCAGAGCUACAACGUCUGCACCAGCCACAGCCUCAGUUCCACCAGCUCGAGCAUCCACUUCAGCCUCGACUCCAACCACGUCUACCGAAGGCUUCGUCCUUGGAGUGCUCCGGACUCCACCACCACCUGAAGAUCAAGCCUGAGCGUCGAUCUAGUGCUAUGCAUUUUCUAGGAACUUUUUGGUAACUUGUUGCCAAAGGGGGAGAAGAUGUAUAGAUCAUAGGCUUCGAGAGAGAGAGUGUUGCUUUUCUCUCUUGCUUUAUUUGGUGGUUUUUCGAACUUAUCUGCUUUUGAGUGCUUGAUACUACGUCAUUAUUUGUGAGACAUUGAUGAUCAUGUGUUUGAUCAUAAGCUAAACUUAAUGCUUGCUUAAUGCCAUUAUCCUAUCUAUCUUGUGUGAUCAUUCAUUAUUCUUGGUGAUGAGUGCAUGUAUUUCAUUCUUAUCAUUUUGAGCGCUCCACCAAGAUGUACGUGACAUGGAAGAGUAACCCAUGACUCUAACUCUUUGUGCAUUUGCAGUCCAAAGGAAAUUUUAAAUAUGCACAAAUUUAGGGGGAGCUCUUAGUUAUCACAUACUUCUCAAAGCGACGAUAUAUUUCAUGCUUAUUAUCAUUUGUCGAAGCUUUGAUCUGUAUGUUGUCAUCAAUUACCAAAAAGGGGGAGAUUGAAAGUGCAACUAUCCCUAGGUGGUUUUGGUAAUUCAUAACAACAUAUAGCUCAUUGAGCUAAUGCUAUUCCAAGAUGAUUAUUUCAGGAAAGCUCAAUGAUUGGCAUGGCAUGGAUGUGAAAGUGGAACCCUCAAAAUGCUAAGGACAAAGAAUUGGCUCAAGCUCAAAAGCUCAAGACUCUUCAUUUUAUAUUUUAGUGAUCCAAGAUCACAUUGAGUCUUUAGGAAAAGCCAAUACUAUUAAGGAGGGAUGAGGUGUUGCUUAAUGAGCCUCUUGCUUCAUGUGCUUAGUGAUAUGCUCCAAAACCCUCAACUACUUUCCCAUAUCCACAUAUGACCUAAACCCUAAGCCAAAAUCGGUCCUACCGAUUCUUCCUAUCCGGCGCCACCGAGUUUCACUUGUCAUUAGCCACUGCCAAACCCUAGCAAUUCGGUUCUACCAAUAAGGAUCUCGGUCUCACCGAGAUGGGGUUGCAAACUCUUUGUUUCCCUUUCGUAACUUUUCGGUCUUACCGAAAGAGCGAAUCGGUCCCACCGAGAUUGCAAUGUAAACUCAGUGUUUCCCCUUUGUAACUUUUCGGUCUCACCGAGUUCCACUCGGUCUCACCGAAAGAGCAAAUCGGUCCCACCGAGUUUGCCUGACCAACUCUCUGGUUAGCUAAUUACCAAAUUCAGUCUCACCGAGUUUGUGUAAUCGGUCUCACCGGAUUACGUUAUGCCCAAACCCUAACCGAAUCGGUCCUACCGAGUUGCAUGUCAGUCCCACCGAAAUUCCUAACGGUCACUAGGUUUACUAUUUCGGUUAAACCGAGUUUUCUGAUUCGGUCCCACCGAGAUUGGUAAAUUGUAUGUAAUGGUUGGAUUUUGUGUGGAGGCUAUAUAUACCCCUCCACCUCCUUCUCAUUACAAAAGAGAGCCAUCAGAACACACACACCAUUCCAACUCAUAUGUUUGAGAGAGAACCACCUACUCAUGUGUUGAGAUCAAGACAUUCCAUUCCUACCAUAUGAAUCUUGAUCUCUAGCCUUCCCAAGUUGCUUUCCACAAAAACCCUCUUUCCACCAAACCCAAAUCCUAUGAGAGAGAGUUGAGUGUUGGGGAGACUAUCAUUUGAAGCACAAGAGCAAGGAGUUCAUUACCUACACACCAUUUGUUACUUCUUGGAGAGUGGUGUCUCCUAGAUUGGCUAGGUGUCACUUGGGAGCCUCCGACAAGAUUGUGGAGUUGAACCAAGGAGUUUGUAAGGGCAAGGAGAUCGCCUACUUCGUGAAGAUAUACCACUAGUGAGGCAAGUCCUGUGUGGGCGAUGGCCAUGGUGGGAUAGACAAGGUUGCUUCUUCGUGGACCCUUUGUGGGUGGUUGCUUCUUCAUGGACCCUUCGUGGGUGGAGCCCUGUGUGGACUCGCGCAACCGUUGCCCUUGGGUGGAGCCCUGUGUGGACUCGCGCAACCGUUACCCUUUGUGGGUUGAAGUCUCCAUCAACGUGGAUGUAGGAUAGCACCACCUAUCCGAACCACGGGAAAAACAUCCGUGUCUCCAAUAGUGUUUCAAUUCUCCAAACCCUUCCCUUUACAUUCUCGAAAGUUGCAUGCUUUACUUUCCGCUGCCCAUAAACUCUUUGCAUGCUUGCUUGAGUGAUGUGAUGAUUGCUUGACUUGUCCUAAAUUAGCUAAAAUCUGCCAAGAACUAAAAUUGGGAAAAGGUUAAGUUUUAUUNNNNNNNNNNNNNNNNNNNNNNNNNNNNNNNNNNNNNNNNNNNNNNNNNNNNNNNNNNNNNNNNNNNNNNNNNNNNNNNNNNNNNNNNNNNNNNNNNNNNNNNNNNNNNNNNNNNNNNNNNNNNNNNNNNNNNNNNNNNNNNNNNNNNNNNNNNNNNNNNNNNNNNNNNNNNNNNNNNNNNNNNNNNNNNNNNNNNNNNNNNNNNNNNNNNNNNNNNNNNNNNNNNNNNNNNNNNNNNNNNNNNNNNNNNNNNNNNNNNNNNNNNNNNNNNNNNNNNNNNNNNNNNNNNNNNNNNNNNNNNNNNNNNNNNNNNNNNNNNNNNCCCCCCCUCUAGACAUACUUUUGAUCCUAUAUAUAUAUAUAUAUAUAUAUAUAUAUCUAAUUGGAUGUAGGGGAGCAUGAACCAUUAUUGUUGACAUUACCCUUGAGGUAAAAGGUUGUGGGGCAAAACUAUAAGCCACUAUCUUUCUCAGUGUCCGAUUAAAACUCCGUAACCACAAGUAUUGCAUGAGUGUUAGCAAUUAUGGAGGACUAAAUGAUAGUUGAGUAUGUGGACUUGCUUUUUAGCUAUGACAUAGACUCUUUCCGAUGUUAUGAUAAAUUGCAAUUACUUCAAUGGCUGAGAUUAUAGUUUGUCGGAACCCAAUAAGGUUUAUGAUUUAUACUCUUGCAUUGUGAAUAGAUCAUCACUUGAAUAUAAGUAAUCAUAUGACAAAAGCUAUAUAUGUUGCUGUUAUGAGAAUAAUCAUGAUGCCUUCAUGUCCGUAUUUUAUUUUUUAUCGACGCCUCUACCUCUAAACAUGAGGACAUAUUUAUUGUUAUCGGCUUUUCGCUUGAGGACAAGCGAGGUCUAAGCUUGGGGGAGUUUAUACGUCCAUUUUGCAUCAUGCUUUUAUAUCGAUAUUUAUUGCAUUAUGGGCUAUUAUUUCACUUUAUGUCACAAUACUUAUGGCUAUUCUCUCUUAUUUUACAAGGUUUACAUAAGGAGGGAGAAUGCCGGUAGUUGGAAUUCUGGUCUGGAAAAGGAGCAAAUAUUAGAGACCUAUUCUGCGCAACUCCAAAACUUCUAAAACUCCACGGAACAUCUUAAAAGAAAUAAAGAAAAAUCCACGCCAAAGAUGAAGGCCAGGGGGCCCACACCCUGCUCACGAGGGUGGGGGCGCCCCCCUAGGGCGCGCCCCCUACCUCGUGGGCCCCCUGGUGGCUCUCCGAUGUCCAUCUUCUCCUAUAUGAGGUCUAUCGAUGAGAAAAAAAUAAAAAGGACCUUUUCAGGACGAGACUCCGCCGCCAUGAGGCGGAACCUUGGCAGAUCCAAUCUAGAGCUCUGACAGAGCUGUUCUGCCGGGGAAACCUCCCUCCGGGAGGGGGAAAUCAUCACCAUCAUCAUCACCAACGCUCCUCUCAUCGGGAGAGGGCAAUCUCCAUCAACAUCUUGACCAACACCAUCUCAUCUCCAAACCCUAGUUCAUCUCUUGUAUCCAAUUUUUGUCUCAAAGUCCGGGAUUGGUUCUAGUAGGUUGCUAGUAGUGUUGAUUACUCCUUGUAGUUGAUGCUAGUUGGUUUAUUUGGUGGAAGAUCAUAUGUUCAGAUCCUAUAUGCAUAUUAUUACCCCUCUAAUUAUGAACAUGAAUAUGCUUUGUGAGUAAUUACAUUCGUUCCUGAGGACAAGGGAGAAGUCUUGCUAUGAGUAGUCAUGUGAAUUUGGUAUUCGUUUGAUAUUUUGAUAAGAUGUAUGUUGUCUAGCCUCUGGUGGUGUUACGUGAACGUCGACUACAUAACACUUCACCAUUAUUUGGGCCUAGAGGAAGGCAUUGGGAAGUAAUAAGUAGAUGAUGGGUUGCUAGAGUGACAGAAGCUUAAACCCUAGUUUAUGCGUUGCUUCGUAAGGGGCUGAUUUGGAUCCAUAUGUUCCAUGCUAUGGUUAGGUUUACCUUUAUAAUUUUGUUGUAGUUGCGGAUGCUUGCAAUAGAGGUUAAUCAUAAGUGGGAUGCUUGUUCAAGUAAGAACAACACCCAAGCACUGGUCCACCCACAUAUCAAAUUAUCAAAGUAUCGAACGCGAAUCAUAUGAACGUGAUCAAAACUAGCUUGACGAUGUGCCCAUGUGUCCCCGGGAGCGCUUUUCCUAUUAUAAGAGUUUGUUCCGGCUUGUCCUUUGCUACAAAAGGAUUGGGCCACCCUGCUGCACUUUAUUUACUUUUGUUACUCGUUGCUCGUUACAAUUCAUCCUAUCACAAAACUAUCUGUUACCACUUAUUUCAGUACUUGCAGAGAAUACCUUGCUGAAAACCGCUUAUCAUUUCCUUCUGCUCCUUGUUGGGUUCGACACUCUUACUUAUCGAAAGGACUACGAUAGAUCCCCUAUACUUGUGGGUCAUCAAUAGGCUAACGAACGAACGUUCACUGUCUAUGACUAACGGGUGCGACAUUCAUUAAAAUGAACGAACGGACGAACGAACGUCCGCAAAAUAAGUAAACCAACAGAAAAACCGAUCUAAUAAAUUAAACCGGAAAAAUAAAAAAAUAGAUCUAGAUCUAGGGUUUACCGAAAUAAACUGNNNNNNNNNNNNNNNNNNNNNNNNNNNNNNNNNNNNNNNNNNNNNNNNNNNNNNNNNNNNNNNNNNNNNNNNNNNNNNNNNNNNNNNNNNNNNNNNNNNNNNNNNNNNNNNNNNNNNNNNNNNNNNNNNNNNNNNNNNNNNNNNNNNNNNNNNNNNNNNNNNNNNNNNNNNNNNNNNNNNNNNNNNNNNNNNNNNNNNNNNNNNNNNNNNNNNNNNNNNNNNNNNNNNNNNNNNNNNNNNCCAUAGGUCGGUUACUUUUUUUUAUAAAUUUCGACGUGCAGAAAAAAAGGAAAUGAAUACUAAACGGACUCCAAAAAUCUCGAAAUAAAUUUUCCCAGUCCUCUAAAAAUAUGCCGGACAAGGUGAACAUUUAUUUGGGCCAAAAAUACAAUUUUGAAAAACGUGUAUUUUCCUAAUUCAAAUAAAAUUGCAAUAGAAACCAAAUGAAAUCAUUUAUUUGAUUUUAAUAUUUUUCCUCCAAUAUUUCAUUUAUUUUGGAGAAUUCAUAUUAUCUCCUCUCAUGUAUUUUAAUAUGAAAUAUUUUCGGAGGGAAAAAUUAAUUAAAACCAAAAUGAUCCUUGUUUCAAUAUUUGAUAGAAUUCAAAUAUGAAAAUUGUGAAAUCCCCAACUCUCUCCGAGGGUCCUUGAGUUGCUUAGAAUUUCAAGGAUCGCGAGACGAAAUGCAGCAAAAAUAUGAUAUGCAUGUAUGACCUAUGUAUAACAUUCCAAAUUGAAAUUUUGGGAUGUUACAAACCUACCCCCCUUAAGAUGAAUCUCGCCCUUGAGAUUCGGGUUGGCUAGAAAAUAGGUGUGGGUGGUCUUUGCGUAGAUCAUCCUCUCGUUCCCAGGUGGCUUCAUCCUCCGUAUGGUGGCUCCACUGAACUUUGCAAAACUUAAUAACCUUGCUGCGAGUAACCCGGCUGGCAAACUCAAUAAUCUUGACAGGUUUCUCCUCAUAUGUCAAGUCAUUAUCCAACUGAAUUGCUUCUAGGGGCGCUGUAUCUCUUAGAGGAAUAUCGGCCAUCUCUGCAUGGCACUUCUUCAACUGGGAAAUGUGGAACACAUCAUGUACUCCCGAUAGUCCUUCGGGUAACUCCAACUUGUAGGCAACCUCUCCCAUACGUUCCAAAACACGGUACGGUCCCACAAAUCUCGGGGCUAACUUUCCCUUAACUCCAAAACGCUUAACUCCUCGAAGAGGAGACACUCGCAGAUAUGCUCGGUCUCCGAUUUCAUAGACUACUUCCUUGCAUUUUGAAUCUGCAUAACUCUUCUGUCGGGACUGAGCUACCUUCAGUCUAUCCAGAAUCAGCUUACCCUUCUCUUUAGAUUCCUUAAUCAAAUCCGGUCCAAACAACUGGCGGUCUCCAACUUCAUCCCGCAUCAACGGUGUUCGGCAUCUUCUUCCAUAUAGGGCUUCGAACUGUGCCAUCUUCAAACUGGCCUGGUAGCUGUUAUUGUAGGAGAACUUCACAUAGGGCAGGUUGUCAUCCCAACUAGAUCCAUAAUCUAGCGCAUAAGCUCUCAACAUGUUCUCCAGAAUCUGAUUGACUCACUCCGUCUGUCCAUCUGUCUGCGGGUGAAAAGCUGUACUGAACUCCAGCCUGGUUCCCAAAGUCUAGUGCAGCUGGUGCCAAAACUUUGAAGUAAAAUGUGUUCCUCUAUCUGAUAUGAUGGUCCUCGGAACUCUGUGCAGACAUACGAUCCUGGUCAUGUAUAUCUUGGCCAACUUUGCACUAGUAUAGGUGGUUUUCACUGGGAUAAAGUGAGCUACUUUGGUCAAGCGAUCCACUACUACCCAUAUAGAAUCAUAUCCCGAUCGGGUCCUGGGUAAUCCGGUGAUAAAAUCCAUGUCAAGCUUAUCCCACUUCCAUUCGGGUAUCGGCAUAGGCUGCAGUAAUCCCGCUGGCUUCUAAUGUUCUGCCUUCACUCUCUGACAUACAUCACAUACGACUACAUAGUCGGCAAUAUCCUUCUUCAUACCCGUCCACCAGAAAUGCUCCUUCAAAUACAAAUACAUCUUGGUGUUUCCGGGGUGUAUCGACACUACUAGGAAAAGGAUAAUUAGUGGCGCACCUGUUUUGGCCAUUAAUGGCGCACUACAGGUGCGCCACUAUUAACACGCCACUAGUAACAAGUACUAAUGGCGCACCCUGAUGCGCCACUAGUAUCCCAAAUAAUAGUGGCACACCUGGCAGUGCGCCAUUAAUAUGUCCCCUGGUGCGCCAUUAUUAUGCCUCCCAGGGGGCCAUAUUUACCUUGUGCUCUGGGUUACUAAUGGCACACUUCUAGAUAAUGCGCCACUAGUAUGUUUAUUGCAGUGCACCACUAAAGUGCAGUAUGGUGCGCCACUAGUAUGAAUAUUAGGAAUUUUUUUCUUUUCUGAUAUUUGCACAGGUUACAAAAUAUAUUACUGCAUAGAAUAUGGACAGCACAACAUAUAAACAACAGAUUUAUCGAAUACAAUAUAAGAUUAGUCUCUGAAUACAAUUCAUCAUAUUAGUCUCCGAAUUCAAAAGAUCGAACAAAGUUAGAACAUUACAAUUCCCGAGACCGCGAGUAGCGAGUUUGUCUUCACAUUACAAGUCGAUAUCGAUCAUCUAAACUACCAUCACAUAGAAGAGAGCUGCGGUCAUCACGAUGAGCAUCAUCGCGAUGAAAUUGGUCUUCAUCCGGUUCCUCCUCCGCUCCCUCCUCUCUCCCGCUAGAUAGCGCGCGUAUCUAACUUCCGCCUCCGCCCUAGUGGUGUACCCUUUGUAACUGUUACCGCUGAAACGGUGAACCUGUCUCCGACACUCCUCCCAGUCAUCGUAGACUCCGGGAACCUUACCCUUGUACACGACAUACGACGACAUCUCUAUGCACUAGACAAACAAAACGUUAGCAGCAAUUCACAGAAAAUACAUAAGCAAUAUACAAGUAUGCAACAAAAGGAUCGGAAGAGAAAAGAAACACAUUAAUAGCACGAUUCAUGGUCCUACUAAUAAAUAGCAUCAAUUACAUAUAAGUUGAACGACUGUCCAAACCAAAGAUACAUACAAGUUCAUUAAAGUUUAAUUACAACAUGAGCUAAUUGAUAUUUCAGAACUACAUAGCAUCACUACUUUUGACUCAACUCAGGGACCGAAGCGUGGAUGAAGCCGACGUCUUUCGUGAUGGUCAUGAAAUCGUAAUCGUUGUCAGCCUGCAUUUGUAGCGUUGUUUAUAUUUCACUGUUGGAUGGUUGAUAUUUGAGGUAGAACUGCCCCGAGGUACGAAGGACAUCUUGAUGGAUGAUUUCCGUAAACUCCGACUGGAUGCGAAAGAAUUCUUGUCUGAAGUCCGCAUCCUGGAUUGCCGACAAGCGUGCGUCCCAAUCUUUGAGACUAUUUGGUAGCAGAAGGUGAUUAUGGUCCCGUACGAUCGCCCGCAUAUGAUGGCGGGCAUAUUAGGCAUUCUUCUGACCGUCAGGCGGCUGCUUGAUGCAGGGGAACGUCGUUACGUGGGUGAACACGUGCUUGCCAUACCUAAAAAUUGGCCUCCUGAAGGUGCCUCCAGAUCUGGCGUAGCUGGGGAGAACAUCAUCAAGAACUUUCUUGAUAUUUGUGUAGUCUUUAUUCGGCUGAUGGUCCGAGUCGAAAUACGUGGCCAUGGAAUAGUUCGGGCUUAAGAGGAUGAGUGUGCAACAUGUGUCACUUCACAAAACAUGGAAUGUUAGAGAAAAAAAGAAUGAUCGAAAUUUAAGAAAUCAUAUGUUACGGGGUGGUGAGGGGAUGACUUACUCGGGAAAGUAAGGCACGAGGAAGCUAUCCUUAUCUGGGUUCGCCAGAAUGACGCCUUCGAGGUAUGAACUCGCGACUUGCCGGUCCCCAGCGCUGCCCGAGAGCUUGGCACACAUGUAGAAUGGGUCAACUAUCACGAUGUUCGGGGUCUUGUCUCUAAUGAUCCGCAUCUCCAUACUUAGCGAAAAUAGCUGAAUGAAGGUGUAGUGCAGCGGAUGAAGGUUAAACAUAGAGAAGAUGUCAUCAAACCGCAGGACGAUCAUACCCCCGAUGGCGCUAUCGACAAAGCCCUUGCCCUCUGGCACCUUGGCCAUGAAAACCGGGUAUACCACAUCAUUCUCAGAGAGACGCCGCUUCUCCAAAGAAAGAACACUGUCAUGCAGACUCCGCAUAGCACCAGUUGCAGCAUUGAGCUGAUUAGUCGGUAGCAUCGGCCUAGCCGCCACAUGCACCCUCUUCGAGACAUCCUUAGAUGAAGGUGGCCCGUCCUAAGCACCGAUCGUACUCGGUGCCGGCUGGCUCGCACCCUUGUUAUUCUUUCUUUUCUGUCCCUUCUUCUUCUGCUGUAAUGGGAUCGAGUUCUGCUCAGAGACCACCUUCUUGAGUGUGUUGGGGCUGAUAAUAUUUCGCACCUCGGCUAUCCGAGGCCCGGUGAAGGCAGCAGCUGGAGGCGUGUCCUGAGAACUGAACGCCAGACGACGCCUCUUGCAAUUGGGUUUAUCCGCAGUACCAGCUAGAUCGCAAUCGUCUUUUGCAGGGUUGGGUUCUUGAGAAGGAGGGCCCAAGAAUUCGUCAUUGUACCCAUGUUCAUUGAAGUACUUAUCGACCCUGGUAAAUGUACCGUCGUCGUCGUCCGGAUCCUGUGCCAUAUGCAUGUCCGUAUCGUCCAUAUGUUCGUCGUCAUCGUUCGGUAGUGUUGCGGCUCUCUUGCCAUGGAUUGGCGCCGGCACGACUGGCGGUGUUAUCUGUGGGGUGGUGUCCCCCGCCGCCAAAUGAAUCUAGCUCUUCGGCCAAAGCAUGGACCAGCUUAUGCAGGUGCUGAGGGUCAUCACAUCAUCUUCGUCGGCCCCAGGUGGGUCGAUGCGGAGGUAACAAGUCGUCGCAGCCCCGCAGCACCCGAACCAGUUGAACUCUAUACACAUUGGGUGGCAUCGGAUUACCGUGGAAUAGGCGGUUGCCCAUUUGAACGAUUCUGGCCUUGGCGACAUCGAUCAACUCGCCGUCCAUGAAGUGCAGGAGAGUGCAUGGAACGUCGGCGACGUCCUGCGAAAACAUGUAGGGCGUUAGGGAUGCCCAAUCAACGGCAAGGAGAUGAAGUCAUCGGCCGAGAGGCUUAGUUACCGUGAUAGCGUCGAGCUCGGCUAAUGUCGAGGCACCGCCAACCGUGGGUGUGCAAGUGACAGAGGGGCCGCUUGCUGCCGAGGUGCCGGCCGGCGUAUUCUUCCCACACCAGGGUGCAUUAAGCUACAAUGCUGGCACCGACACUGGAGACACCAAUGCUGCCUCCGCCGGAGACACCAAUGGCCCCGCCGGCGCGUUGUGCGAGUUGCUGCCCGUGAAGCUGGGAAUCAGGGGCGGCCCCUCUUGGCCGCCCGCAAUCAACGCCUGCAGCCCCUCAAGCAAGGUAGGCAUAAUGGCGGUGAUCGUCGCUCCCAGUUGGUCUCGCACUUGCUCUUCGACUAUCUCCGCAAUCCGCGCCACUUGUGCCUUGAGUUCUUGAACCUCUUGCUCCUGGAUUUCUGAGCUGGUCUUUCUCUCCUUUCUCCUAGCGGUAUAGUAUUCCGACCAUUUCGUGGACAAGCCUUUGCCGGCCACACGACCAGCUGACGUCGGCUUACUAAGCUUAUCCUUGUGUUUCAUUACGUCCAACGCCCUAUUUAAAGUGGUGUCCCAAGGGGAGCUCUGAGACGAUCCCGCGCUACUGCUUUCAGUUUCCUGCGGAAGGAACGUGAAGCAUUUAGAAAAUUGGCUUCAUUAAUUAGAAUGAAACCAUAUGGAGCUAAUUACGCGGGGGUGUAUUCCUUACCAGAACAAGCUCAAGCGCCUUGGUCUUCGGAUCCGUGGUAAGCUCCUUGGUUACCGGGUCAAUCUUGUAUUGGGCCCUGACAUAGUUCCUAGUUUGCUUGUCAUGGUAUUUAUCGAAGAGGGGCGGUAGGCCUUGCUCGGCACGCUCCGCGUCCUCCUUGUCCCAUAUAGGUUCCGCCACUCUGUAACCGCUGGGACCAAGUUUGUGGACCCCUAAGUUCAAGUCCCGCAUAUCUUUCCCCCACUGACUUGAUUCCGCGGUUGCGUUGCUCUCGCACUUGAUCUUGAACUCCAGGUAGUCAGCUUCGCUGAUCGAAGGAUUUGUCUCCUCGAUCUUCUCGUAACUAUCACCUUUUUCAAUCCUUCUCUUCACCGCAGCUCUCUAAGUAGCCAGGGCCGUGCUCAUCUUCUUGAGGGCGGCACUGUUCACUUUAUUCCUUGAGAGGCGUGUGUUUGCGAAGUCACCGGGGAACUUGUAUCGUUUGUGCAACUUCGUGAAGAGGAGGUUGCGCAAAUUCCCUCGGUCACGAUGCCUUAGGUUCUCGUUGUUGAUCGAGACGGUGCUCCGGAGAAUGCACCCGAGCUGUCCUGCGUACGCCUUGACAAAUUCUUUGGGCGCCGUUGGCUGCCCACUGGAGGACAGUUCAGUAAAUUCCUCCUUGACGGUGCCGAGCAUGUUCGGGCGCCAGUCCUUGUGUUGCCUCUUCGGUUGGCUGCCAUCUGUGCAUGCGCUGCCAUCAUCAGUGGUGGCAUCCUCGGCGGCACCAUCGGUGGUGUCAUCCCCGACGCCACUAGGGGUUGUGUAAGCGAGAUUGGUGUCUUCCGCGGCGUCCUCAUAGCGGUGAGGUUCUUCCUCCAUCUCCUGGGACAGCUCCCAGAAUUGCUUGCUCGAACCGCCGGCCUCAUCAUUGUGGGCCAUGUUUCGCUCUAAAUAGGAAAACAAUUUGGUCAAAAAGUUGGUUAUUGUCAAGGAACAAGAUCUCUAAGUUGACCAAAUAACCUAAUUCUCGAGGAAUGUCGCCAAAAAGUUGGUUAUUCUCAAGGAAAAAUUGAGAGAUGUUUGUGAUAUUGCCUAGGUGUUUUGGGAUGGAACCUGUUAGUGUGUUGUUGCUAAGGUCCAAGUCCCUUCCUAACCCCCUUCUUCUUGUCUACUCUCACUAUCUCUCUCACACACAUGGCAAGCAAGGGUGUCCGAGUGUGUGAAAAAAUACUAAACUAAUCCAAGGGCUGAAAAUUGAUCAUCUGUUUCAGAUUGCAGUUUUCUUUCUUGGGGCUUCGGUGUGCGGUACAAAACUGAAUUUUGGAAAUCUACAGAAUGAACAAGCUAAGGGCUGCAAAUGCCCGCAAGGCUUCAAGGGUGAUGGCAUAAUGGCUCAGUGUUAUUUAAGGGUUGGUUUGUGAGGAAUUAUCAUGGUCUCAUCAUUUAGGGUUUCUUGAUACCGAGGCAUCCUAAAAGCUAAGCUUUUAUCAUUUAGGGUUUGUCGAUGCCGAGGCACCCUAAAAUCCUAAGCUUUCAUCAUUUAGGUUUUUAUCGACACCGAGGCACCCUAAAAGCCAAGGUUUUAUCAUUUAGGGUUUGUCGACGCUGAGGCACCCUAAAUGCUAAGUUAAGUUUUCAUCAUUUAGGGUUUAUCGAUGCUGAGGCACCCUAGGUUGACUAGUAUAUAUGGGUAUCUUCUAAUAAUAUACCCUAUCAAGUAUGGCGCAAUAGUUAAAAAAUAGCCAACAGUGACAUGCAAGUCUUGACAGAAAAGGGAAGGGGAAUUCUAAGUCGGGCCUAAUCACUUGGCUCUAUUGCCACCUAUGGCAGUUGCAUAUUAGUUGUGCAAAAAAUUUAAGAGCGGGCAGUAAUGAAUAAUAUUUAAUGGGAUACCUCAAAAAGUUAAUCUAGUAUCUCCAUUUAACAGUUUUCAACUAGAAAGUGCACAAAGUGCAACAAACAGAUUACUUCAACCCCCCAAACAAUAAUGAUAACAUUCUUUUCCUGAACUAUAAACGACUCAUAGAUUCGUCUGUCCACACAUGAAUUCAGCAUAUGUGUUUAGUGCAGCAAGAAUAAAGGGACACAACAUGUCAAAAAUCUCGCAUCCAAAAUUUCACAAUUGAGCCUAACGUGACAGUGCAUAUAUAACCAGGCUUAUGGUGCAUUCUACUUUGUAGUUGUCAAAACUGUAUUUGUCAGACUUAACUAAGUUAACUGUUAUCUGCACACCCUAAUCUUUUUAUCCGAGUAACACAAAAUAGACAUCUCAACACUUGCAUUUGCAAAUAUAACACCAUGAGACACUUCAACUAGGUACUUCUUGAAGGACAAACACCAAGAGAUAGUAAACAUAUCAGCCGUUGAUAGAAGAUUCAGAACUACUCCUUAGCUUGAGCUUCUGAACUAGUACUAGCAAACCUAGAAUAAUGGCUCAAAUGCUGAACUGUUUGAGCUUCUGAACUAGUACUGGCAAACCUAGAAUAAUGGCUCAAAUGCUGAACCUAGAAUAGAUUAUACCAUUAGUAAUAACUAUGCAUUGCUCAUGUUGUAAAAAGGCACAGAAAGAGAGCAAUUGACAUUAGUAAUAACUAUGAGUUGAUAUGACACUUCUAUAUGUAUAACACAAGAGGCAGUUGAUCCUACUUAGUUAAGUACUAAGAUACCCCGGCCCAUGCAUUAGUCGCAAGUACCCCAUAUGUCCUAUUUUUAGCAAAGUCAUGCUAAAAUUCACGAAAAAAUUCAGCAUGACCUUCGCUGAAAAUAGGACAUAUGGAGUACCUGAAUUUGCCAGAACGGAAGUUAAUCGACAUUCCGGCAAACUCAAGGGCCCCUCGGGGUACCUGCAAAAUCAUUUUCCCACCCGCCCCGCUGCAACCCCACAACACCCCCCAAUAUCAUCACGACACGAUGGUAUUAGACAAAACCCCCCAAUAUCAUCACGACACGAUGGUCGGAGACAAAACCCAACAAUAUAUCUUCUAGCCAUGAAACCCUACCCUGAUUGUCCUUUCUUCCUCUUUUUUCACUUAAACCUGCAAACAUGUAGGGAAAGCAAUUAAUACAAGGCACAAAAAUGGCAUGCUAUUUAGCCCUAAUGCUACAGAACAUAUGAAAUACAUGCUAGCAAUAUAUAUGAUAUAAACUCCAAUAAUUUUUGAAUAAAAACAAUAGAUAAAAAAGUAGCAAGCAAGCAAUUCAUUUGACUAACUAUUUAAGUGUUCUGGACUCCAACAACCACUUUGCAGACAAGCAGGAAAGUGGUUCUUCAUGGAUAGCUGAAAGUGGUUCUUCCUUGUGGGAUGUGUGAUCUAUGAUGGUGCUGUCUUUUUCUUAAUUGGCUUUGCUUAAUCCUAUGAGGAGCACUAGAUUGAAGCAACGGCUCAGAACAUGUCAACUGCCUGUGCAGGCAUAAAGCAUGUUGUUGGGAUGGAGGUGGUGGAAUCCACUUGUUAUCUGGCUAAGAGGUUGAAGUUGGCACUGAUUAGUGCUGAAGUUGGCACUCUUUAAAUUCAGAAAAGAAAAGGCACCACAUAAUAUUGAUGGACAGGGGAAAGCUUUGCAAUUGCACCCACAAGUGUCAAGCACCAACUUAAUAGCCACUCCUAAUAAAUCCUUCCCAUGACAGUACGACACUCACUCUCGGUUCGACACAUAAUAUUAUUCUCCCACAUUAGCUAAAAUGGCUAAAACUGAAUGCGAUAAUCCUAGUGUUCUCUUGUGGUGGUGGUGGUGAAAUGCCCAUAUCAUGCAUUGGUGGGCAACAAUGAUUAGAUUAAACUGUAACCAGGCACAUACUUACAGCUGUUUCCUAACAUGAAAAAGGAGUGAACCUUUGGGUACAAAAGAGUGGAGUUGAACGGUGCAAACAAAAAGAAACUGAUAAAAAAAGAUGAGUGUUGUGGUCCUGGGGGUGGAAGAACAUGACAGGGCUAACCGACGAUUACUAACUCGAUCAAAAAGUGAUUAUUGCCCAUGGAAAUGGCACCAAAUCCCUCCGGAUCGUUAACAAGGGAGGAUGCAGACAGGGGACUUCAAUCAAUCGAGCACCAGGAGCACAGCAGCGUAACCAGAUGGAAUGGAAUCGGGUUGGAAGGGCAACUAGCAAGCAACAGGCAGAGCAGUAGUGUGGCGGUAGCAGAGAGCAGUAGUGUGGCAGCAGUAGAGAGCAGCAUCAGCAGCAGGAAAGAGCAAUGCCAAGGCAACAGCAAGCAGCGGCCAAGCAGCGAACAUCAACAACAUCAAUAGUGCAGUCAACAGAGCAAGAGCAGCAGCGGGGGCGGCGCGACAACAGUCAGCACGGGCUCGUGCGAGAGGCAACGGGCGGACGAGCACGGGCGAGGGAUGGCCAAGGGCGCACAGGCGGAUGCGUGCCCAAGGGGAGGAGCAGCGGGGAGGGCGUGCGCCGGGGCGCGACAAAGGAGCCCGGGGGCACGGGCCGGCUGUGGGGUGAGCGCGAGGUCGACGGGGGCGGCUUAAGGCGGCCUAUGGAGGCAGAUCGAAGGGGGGAACGGGUGAGGGACUCACCGCAGAGAUCAUGGCAGGCUCAGUGAAGGCCGGGGUGGACCGGAGAGACGAUGGUGACCGUGAGAUGGCGACGGCUGGACGAAGAAGAAGGACUCCUCCUCCUAGUGCUCCGACGGUGACUCCAGCGGCGGAGUGGGCGCGGGGGUUGUCGAGUGCGGGGGGUCGUCGGCGACGGUGGAGAGCGGGCGCGGGGGGUUUGCUCGGCGGCGGUGGAGAGCGAGAGCCGGCAAGGGAGAGCUGGCGAGGGAGGGGGAUCGAUCUGGCGAGGAAGGGUUAUCAAGGGGGAAGGUUAGCAAUGGCGCACCUCCUAGGGGUGCGCCAUAAGUACUUUGAUAGCAAUGGCGCACCUUCCCCUGGUGCACCAUUACUAACCUUUUUUGGAUUUUUAGUUGCAUCUAAUAUAUUUUUAGAAAAUGACAAUCAAAUUUGAAAACAUUUAUGAAUGUGAAAAAAUAUCAACUAAUUUGUUAUUUGAAAAUAUUUAUGAAUAUGAAAAAAUAUCAUCAAAUUUGUUAUUUGAAAAUAUCAUCAAAUUUUUUAUUUGAAAAUAUUUGAAAAAAUAUCAUAAAAAUUUGUAUACCAAUGGUUCACCUCCUAGGGGUGUGCCAUAAGUACUUCGAUAGCAAUGGCGCACCUUCCCCUCGCGCGCCAUUACUAACUUUUUUUUGGAUUUUUAGUUGCAUCUAAUAUUUUUUUAGAAAAUGACGAUCAAAUUUGUAAACAUUUAUGAAUGUGAAAAAAUAUUAUCAAAUUUUUUAUUUGAAAAUAUUUAUGAAUAUGAAAAAAUAUCUUCAAAUUUGUUAUUUGAAAAUAUCAUCAAUUUUUUUGGAUUUUUAGUUGCAUUCAUUUGUGAAUUGGUAAAACAUUUAUGAAUAUGAUAAAAUAUCAUCAAAUUUGAAAAAAUAUUCAUGAAUUCAAAAAGUGCCCAUGAAAUUCAAAAAUAUUCAUGAGUUCAAAAAAUAUUAACAAAUUUAAUACUUUUUGUGAGUUAGAAAUUCAAUACUAGAAUAAACAUAAAUAAAUAUUCAUGAGAACUAGAACAGAAGAAAUAUCAUUUCAAUAUGUCGAAAUACAAUCGAGAAAUGAAGACUACAAUUUAAAUACAAUCGAUCUUAGCUAGCUAUCUUUUCACAAUCUUCUUGCCCUUCUUUUUCGCAAAUGGAGUUCUUCUGUUGAACGGACGUCCUUUAGGUAGGGUGGUCCUGCUUCUUUUUGUGGUGUAUGGCACUGCAACGUCGUCGUCAUGUUCCAUCUUCGGGUCGCCGUACUUGUCGAAGUCUUGCUCAUUGGCGACUCCAUCCAUUUCGUUGAUCUUCCUUUUGCCUCUCCUCACAACAACACAACUGGGCUUUAACUGGUAGGUAAUGAAGAAGCAUUGGUCCACUUGGGAAGACAGUACACAUGGCUCAUUUUUCGCGGUGACGUUUGCGCCCGCGGUCUUGGAUUUUGCUUCGGGUAUAACCAUGGUGGUGAAAUACCGGUCUUCUUCUAGGACGCUCUUGGCCCAUCUGACACGGAACAUCGAGACCUUCUCUCCAGCAUAGCUCAGCUCCCAGAUCUCCUUGAUCCUACCGUAGUAUCUGUCCUUGUCGUUACCGGUGUAUGAUUCCAUCAUUACCCCGGAGUUCUGAUAACCAUCGCUCUUCAUGUCCUUGUCCUCGGUGUAGAAUGUGUAGCCAUUGAUAUCGUACGCCUCUAAGGUCAUCAGGUUGUGCUCGGCGCCCUGUGACAAGGCGAAUAUGAGUUUUUCUUCCGCGGAAGAAUCCUCAUGUAAAGGGUACAACAGAAGCUUCUCCUUGAACCAGUGCGUGAAACAUGAGUUGUGCUCUUUGAUUAUAUCUCCGGCCGUCCUCUGUUGGCCUCAGUCAUUGUAUGUCUUCUCAAUAAAGGUUUUGUGCUCUACCACCCAAGGAUCGACCACGUCUAUGUGUUGUAGCGCGACUAGGUUUGCUCUUUCAAAGUCGGCGAGUCGACCCUCGAAGUCGACAUGCAUUUCGUGGAGACCAUCGCGGUGACCCCAUCCAGCGAGCCUGCCGAGGUGCCUAUUGAUAGGCAGACCAACGGGGUUCUCGAUGCCUAGAUAAUUCGUGCAGUAGGAGAUGCACUCUUUGGUCAGAAAGCCCCUGGCUAUGCUUCCCUCUGGACGUGACAUGUUGCGAACAUAUCCUUUGAUGACAUCAUUCAUCCUUUCGAACGGCAUCAUGCUUUGCAGGAACGUUGGCCCAAGUUGGAUGAUAUCCUCCACGAUAUGGACCAGUAGAUGCACCAUAACAUCGAAGAAUGCAGGCGGGAAGUACAUCUCAAGCUCGCAUAGUAUCACCACGAUCUCUUCCUGUAGCCUUCUGAGUUGGCUCAUGCCAACCGACUUCCGAGAGAUGACGUCGAAAAAGUUGCAUAGGACAAAUAGCAUUUCACGGACGUGCGCAUCCAUGAUCCCACGAAUUGCAACUGGAAGUAUCUGUGUCAUCAACACGUGACUGUCGUGAGACUUCAUCCCGCUGAACUUCUGCUUCGCUGAGUCUAGGUAUCUGCUUAUCUUCCCCGCGUAACCGUAAGGAAGUUUUACUCCUAUGAGGCAGGUGAAAAACUGCUCGAUCUCCUCCUGACUUAGAGUGAAGCAUGCGGGAGGGUAGUCAUUUCCGAUCUUCUUGGACUUUUUGCCUUUGCGACGACUUUCUGUGUCCUGCUUCGCCUCAUAAUCAUCAUCAUUAGCGUGAAGCUCCUCCCUGAUGCCCAUUGAUUUCAAGUCUGCCCUUGCUUUCGGCCCAUCUUUGGUCCUCUCUGGCAUGUUGAGCAGGGUACCAAGCAGACUCUCGCACACAUUCUUCGUGAUAUGCAUGACAUCAAGGCUGUGAGGCACACGGAGGAUCUUCCAGUACGGCAAGUCCCAGAAAAUAGACCUCGUUUUCCAUACCUUCAGCAACGACUCUGGCGCCUUUCGCUUCUUUCCCGGCUCUGGCGCCUUUUGCUUCUUUCCCGGCAGUGGGCAAUCUUUCCAAUUUUUCAACAGCUCGCCUAUUUCCUCGCCGCUCCUCGUACGCGGGCGUCUUCAGGGUUCGGUUUCACCAUCGAACAGAUCCUUGCGUUUUCUCCAUGAGUCAUCGUCGCGAAGCCAUCUUCGAUGUUCCAUGAACACGGUUUUCGAAGUCCCAGGAUCUCUAUCUAGCUGGUAGUACGUUGUGUCAUCCAUGCACCUGACGCAUCCAGAAAAUCCAUAGACCACCUGCCCCGCGACAUAUCCGUAACCGAGAUAGUCGUGCACCGUCGUGAGCAGUGCGACUCUCAUAGGGAAAUAUUCUUUCUCCGCAGCGUCCCACGUAUUGGCUGGCGUUUUCCACAGCGUGUGCAGCUCCUCUUUCAGCAGCCCCGGAUACAGAUUGAUGUCAUUCCCUGGUUGUUUUGGCCCUUCAAUUAGCAUACUCAUGUGAAUGUACUUCCUCUUCAUGCACAACCAGCGGGGAAGGUUGUACAUCCACACAAACAUAGGCCAGGUGCUAUGUGUGCUUCUCUGGCUGCCAAACGGAUUGACUCCAUCGGUGCUCGUGCCCAGCACAAUGUUCCUUGGAUCGUCCCCAAAUUCUGGGUGUUCGAAGUUCAACGCUUGCCACUGGCUCGCAUCCUUAGGGUGACUCGACAUCUUGUCUUUUUUAUUUAUCUCCGGAUCAUUUCCGUCAUCUUCUCGCUUCUUCUCCUCCCUAUCCGCGUGCCAACGCAGGAGCUUUGCUAGCUUAUGGUCCGCCAAAUACCGCUAUAGACGAGGAGUGAUCGGAAAGUACCACACCACUUUUCAAGGAGCUUUCUUCCUCUUCUUGUAUCGAGUGACGCCGCACACCGGACAUAUGGUAGACUCCACGUGCUCGUCCUGAUAAAUGAUGCAAUUGUUCAUGAAGACAUGGUAUUUCGCAUGCGGUAAAUCUAGAGGACACACGAUUUUCUUCGCCUCCUCGAAACUGGUCGGGCACUUGUUCCCCUUGGGAAGACGUUCGUGCCAGAAUGACAUGUUCUCAUCGAAGCAUGCGUCGGUCAUUUUGUGUUUUACCUUCAUCUCCAGAGCCAUGAGCAUUACUUUCAGGUGGGUAUCCUCGGGCCUGCAUCCUUCAUACAAUGGAGUAACCGCGUCUAUCUCCAAUUGAUCCAGCUUGGCUUUCUCUCGGGCAUCUUCCUCAUCAUCAUGUCCUUCAUCUUCUCUAGCAUCUUCCUCAUCAUCAUGUCCGACAUCUUCUACAUGAUGACUGUGUACUGCAUCUACUUCGUGAUCAUGUCCUGGAGAUUCUUCAUCUUCUCGCCCGCCCUCACCGCGGUUGUCUUGAUGCCCUUCCUCAUUUCUUUCCCGGCCACCAUGGAUGACAUCAUAAUCAUCUUCAUCACCUUGCCACCGAUAGCCAUCCAUGAAACCAUGCAAGAGCAGGUGGUCCCGCACCUGUACGGAAUCCGGGUCCAUAAGGCUCUUCAGCUUGCAUCUUCGACACGGACAUCUUAUCUCCAUCUUGUUCUUUUGAAGCAUCUCGGUCUUCACGGAGCUCAAAAACCUAUUCACGAUGCCUUCGGUCAUCGUGCGGACCAUGGUCGCCUGCGGGGUAGAGCAAAAUGAUAUUUUAGACCCAAAUUUUUUUUGGCAUGACUUUGCCUAAAACUAGGACCAAAAAGAAUGCGUAGUGCCAAAUUCUCGCCAAAACGGAAAUGAAGUAACAUUCCGGCAAAAUAUUGGCAACUAUCGCAUUUGAAAUACCAGUACCUGCAAACGCAAACAUAUGCAACACCACAAACAUACGCAACACCACAAACAUACGUAGAUCUAGGCCAUAAAAAGUGCAUGUGCACGUUGUUGGAGGGAGAAAAAAAUAGAUCUACAACAUAAAGAAAGCUUUCCCCUUACUUACCUAUCAAAAAAAGGUAAUUUAACCACUUAAUUUGGGUGAAUCUAUGGUGCAAAUGAGGUGAGGAGGAGGUGGCAGCCGAGACAGGCUUGGAGGAGGAGGUGGAGAGAAUGAAGUGGGGAAAGUGAGUGUGGUAGGUGGUUGUCCAAAAUAUCUAGCUGCUCUCAGGUUACCAAUGGCGCACCACCUAAAAAUGCACCAUUAGUAACCCUGGUUACUAAUGGCGCACCUGUUACGUGGUACGCCAUUACUAGUUUUGCAAAAAAAAAUUGUUAGUAGUGGCGCACCGUGGUUGUGGUGCGCCAUUACUAGUUUGAACUAGUAAUGGCGCACUAUACACUGGUGCGCCAUUACUAGUUUUGAAAAAAAAAUUAAAAAAAUUUGUUAGUAGUGGCGCACAGAGCGUGUGGUGCGCCAUUACUAGUUAAAACUAGUAAUUACGCACUAUGCCCUGAUGCGCCAUUACUAGUUUUGGAAAAAAAAUGUUAGUAUGGCGCACCGUGGGAGUGGUGCGCCAUUAGUGAUAUGGACACUAAUGGCGCACCUACACAUGGUGCGCCACUGCUAUAUAGCAGUGGCGCACCACAUAUGUGGUGCGUCAUUGAUGUCCAUAUUAGCUAUAGCCCUUUUCCUAGUAGUGCGAGUACGGCGAGUCAUGAGCUUCCUGUAGUAUCAACUUCCUGAUCUCUGCAUUAUUGAGCACAUAUACAUGGUCCUCAAACCAUAAGGUGUCAUGCUCAUCUUCACGAAAACUUUUGGCAUUUCGUUCACUCGUCUUCUCCUUUAUCUCGACAAUUUCUUUGUCAUCCUUCUGAGCUUCUCGGAUCUUUCCCAAUAAUGUAUACUGAACUUCCAUGGUUGUAACAAAAAUUUUAGGAACUAUCUCCAAACAAAGUUCCCUGAGAUCCUUUGCUAACUCCUUUGGCAUUCCUUCGCUUACGAGGGUGUUGACGUAAGUCUUCUAGCUCAAAGCGUCUGCCACAACAUUGGCCUUGCCUGGAUGAUAAUGCAACUUCAUAUCAUAAUCUUUUAUGAGCUCCAACCAUCUCCUCUGCCUGAGGUUUAGCUCCUUCUGAGUGAAAAUGUACUUCAAACUCUUAUGAUCCGUGUACACAUCACAAUGAUUUCCAAUAAGAAAAUGUCUCCAGGUCUUUAGUGCAUGCACUACAGCGGCUAACUCCAAAUCAUGCGUGGCAUAAUUCAACUCGUGCGGUUUAAGUUGUCGUGAGGCAUACAAAAUAACUCUUCCGUCUUGCAUAAGUACACCUCCAAGUCCUAAGCGAGAGGCGUCGCAAUACACUUGGAAAUCUUUGGGUAUAUCCGGCAGAAUCAGCACUGGGGCUGUAGUCAAACGUUUCUUCAACUCCUGGAAACUUUCUUCACAUUCUUCAGUCCAAUGGAACUUGGUGUCCUUCUUCAACAACGUCGUUAUAGGCUUUGCAAUCUUAGAGAAAUUUUCAAUGAAUCUCUGAUAGUAUCGCGCGAGUCCAAAAAAACUACGGAUCUCUCCAACUGAGGUGGGUGCCGACCACUCAGUGACUGACUGAACCUUGGUGGGAUCCACUGCUAUACCUUCUCCUGAUAUAACAUGUCCAAGAAAUCCAACUUCCUUCAACCAAAACUCGCACUUGCUGAACUUGGCAUAUAACUGAUGUUCCCUGAGCUUCUCGAGAACUUAACGCAAAUGCUCCUUGUGUUCAUCUUCAUUCUUCGAGUAUACCAAGAUAUCAUCAAUGAAAACCACAACAAACUUAUCCAAGAACUCCAUGAACACCUUGUUCAUCAUACUUAUGAAAUAGGCAGGGGCGUUAGUUAGUCCGAAUGACAUAACCGUAUACUCAUAUAGCCCAUACCUUGUGGUGAAAGUUGUCUUAGGUAUAUCUUUUUCCCUAAUCUUCAGCUGGUGAUAUCCUGAUCGCAGAUUGAUCUUCGAAAACACCAUUGCUCCUUGCAGCUGGUCAAACAAAUCAUUGAUCAUCAGCAGUGGGUACUUAUUCUUGAUCGUUACUUCAUUCAAUGCCCAAUAAUCAACCACCAUUCUUAGGGACUUAUCCUUCUUCUCAACCAAGAGCACUUGGGCUCCCCAUGGUGAUGAACUUCUUCGGAUGUAACCUUUUUCCAAUAACUCCUUAAUUUGUUUAUUAAUCUCCUCCAGAUCGUUUGCGGGCAUCCGGUAUGGUCUCUUAGAUAUUGGCCCGGUACCUGGCAACAGCUCUAUCAAAAACUCUAUGUCUCAAUCUGGCGGCAUGCCUGGUAGCUCCUCUGGAAAUACAUCCGGGUAAUCCUUCACGACAGGCACUUCCUCCUGAACAACUCCCGUGAGAGAACGUACUUGGGUUCUCCUUGGCGAAUUCCUGGAAACAUACUUGAUCCUUUUUCCCUCCGGGGUGGUAAGCAGAAUCGACUUACCAGCGCAAUCGAUGUUUCCCCCAUACAUCGAUAGCUAAUCCAUUCCUAGUAUCACAUCCAAUCCUUGUGACUCCAAAAUUAUCAGGUCUGAGGGGAAAACAUGUCUUCCAAAGGUCAAUGGCAUCUGAAAACAUCCUUGACUUGCCAUAUACUCGGCUCCUGGCAAACUUACGGAGAUGGGUGUCCUAAGUACCUUAGUGGACAACUUAUACUUAUCCACGAAUCCCCUGUAUAUGUAUGAAUGCGAUCCACCAAUAUCUAGAAGAACAAUUGUAGUAAAAGACUUAACCAAAAACUUACCGAUAACUGCAUCUGGCUGCUCCUCAACUUCCUCCACAUUCACGUGGUUCACUUGUCCUUUGUUGAAAGGGUUGGCUUCUUCCCAGCGCUUCCAUUGCCAUUGCCAUUCUUCAAUUCCGGACAAUCGUUGGCGUAGUGCCCAGUCUUCCCGCACUUGAAACAAGUAAUGUGACUUUGAUCCUUCUUGGCGGGUGUGGCUGGGUUAGAGCGGUUCUGAUUGCUACUUGCUCCAUUCCCAUUCCCAUUCCUUGGGCAAUUAUGGUUAUGCGAACUUCCUCCACUGUGGGUGUGGCCUCCAUGGUUAUGGGAAAGUCCUCUCGAGUUCGGGGUGAAAUGAGGCUUCUGCUGAGCUCCAAAGUUGUACUUUCCUUGUCCAUGCUUCCUCUUGCGGCUCUCAAUCUGAUGUUGCUUCUCUUUAAUCAUAAGAGCCUUGUCUACUAACUCCUAGUAGUUGUUGAAUGUUGCCACCAUCAACUGCAUGCUCAUCUCAUCAUUUAGCCCUUCCAUAAACUUCUCCUGCUUCGCGGCAUCUGUGGCCACAUCAUUAGGGGCAUAACGAGAUAGCUUACUAAACUCAUCCACGUACUGAGCCACAAUAUGAUUUCCCUGGUGCAAGUUGCGAAACUCACGCUUCUUCAUGCUCAUAGCUCCAGUGGAUACGUGGGCUAUGCGGAAUGCUUGCUGAAACUGAUCCCAAGUGACAUUGGCUAUAGGAAAAGUGGUUGUGUAAUUCUCCCACCAUGAGGCUACUGGUCCAUCCAACGGAUGUGCGGCAAAACGCACCUUCUCAGCAUCUGUGCAACCUGCGGUGGUCAACUCCCAUCCUAUCCUGCGCAACCAAUCAUCAACAACUAUGGGCUCGGUGCUACUGGCAAACACCGGCGGCUGCAACCUCAGAAAGCGGGCUAAGUUGUCAAUUGGAGGUGGUGGCGGUGGGUUAUUGUUGGUGUUGUUGUUGUUGCCUUGGUCCUGAACUAACAACUGCAUCAAGGCAUUCUGCUGCUGGAUCAACUGAGUGAGCUCCGGUGGGAAAGCAAAUCCGGGGUCACGUCUCGGAGGCAUCUGAUGGGUUUAGAGGAAAGAGUUUAGAAUAGAAUGAGGUCUAGUGAGACAACACUACCCUAUGCACAUGAGACAAACACAAUCAUUUCACUGAAUCAAUCAAGCAGGGGCAUACAAUCGGUCUAGAACUAUCGUUAAAAGUGUUCAGACUACUACUAUGUACAGGGGGAAUACUACUAGUCAUAUGGUGGUCAUCUAGAAAUUUUGAUCGGUGGAUCACUAGUGCAGAACCGGGCUUUAGCGUCGGUUCAUAAGGGGCUUCAGUGCCGGUUCCACAACUGGCACUAAAGAGUGGGGACUAAAGGUCCCAACCUUUAGUACUGGUUCAUCACGAACCGACGCUAAAGUGCCACCACGUGGCACGAGCCAGGCCCGGGUGCGCGUAGGACAUUAGUACCAGUUGGUAACACAAACCGAUACUAAAUGUUUGGGUGUGUUUUGGUUUUUAUUUUUAGUUUUUACUUUAAUUUUGUAUUUUCAAUUUAAUUUAGUGAUUGUUUUACAUUAUAAUGAGUUGCUAAAUCAUUAGGUGAAAGUACCGCAGAUUAGUUUGACUGGAUGCAUGUGGAUCCUAGCUAAGUCAUCAAGUAUAUGCCAUAUCCAUAUUAUACUUGAUCACCUAAUUAAGUGAUCAGGUAAUAUGGAUAUGGCAUAUACUUGAUCACUUAGCUAGAAUCCAUCCAGUUGAAACUAAUCCGCGGUUUCUUUCAUAAAUGAUAUAAUAACUCAUCAUCAUCAUCAUCAUCAUCAUCAUCAUCAUCAUCAUAUUAAUAUAAAAACUCUUGCAUAUCAUAUAUAUCAUCACCAACAACAGUUUUCAUAGCUAGCUAAAAAUCAUCAUAUAUAGUCGUCUCUUUACCACUACUUAAUCAUCAUAUAGCCAUUACCGCUAUCUAAUCACCACCAAUGCUAGCUUAAAGAAGAAACAUUCACUUGUACCAGAAGCAAAGAUAUCAUCGAGUUCAACAUGGUAAUGAUAUUAUAAUCGUUCAUAACACCACAAAAGCAAAUCACUCUUUGAGAUUAAGUUCAGGACGAAGAACACGGACAUGAGAGGACAAGUACUAAGAGAAUGAACUAGCUAAUCACUCCUCCUGCUCUCUCUCGGGUAAAAUAGCAUAGAACAUGUAUAGCUUUCCUGAUUCAUCAUAUUGGAGCAUGCAGAUGAACCUGUAUCCUAAUCAUGGGUUGCGCUUCUGAUUGCUGCCCCCUAGUACUUCUCUGCGAUCGUUCACAAUUUUGCUCCAAUCUUUUACUAUUAAGCAUUCCUUGCUAUUAGAAAACCUGAAUGCACUAAAGUGCAUUGUAGGAUAUCUUGGCCGUAAGCUAACAACAUUCAUGGUACCUUUAGUCUCGAUCCAAUCAGGCACAACAUUCAUCGGGAGUCCCUGUUGAAGAACAUCAUAUAGUAACAUACUUAGCAAUGAAGUUUAGCUUAAAAAUAAUGUAUGCAAAAGAUGCACUGAGGAGAAAUAGUAGAAAUCUUACCAUCUUUCCUAAAUAUAUGUGACCGUAUUUCAGUACGAACACUAUUGGUCGCACGUUUUGAGUACUAACAUUUCUAAGUGCAGAAAUUUUUUUUUGUCGUGACAGCAUCAAGAUCCUCAAGCCAUGAAACAUAAUGACUUGUCUCCUUGCAGUUUAGUUCAGCCCUGGGACAGUGGACGGUCCUGUCUACCAAGCACCGGACAUAUUUGCUUGAUUGGAAAUAAGUUGUCAAUAAAAAUUACUUGUCAACUCCUUUUGAAUAAACAAUAUCGAAGACAUAAAUAUAGUUGAGAAACUCACAUAAUGGUAGAACUGGAGGCGUCUGCACAUCGACCCAUAUGUCUCUGUUACAUUCAAUAUCAUCUUCCGGACGAAUAUCAAAGGUGAGAACCAUAUCAAGCUCAAAUGCAUAAGCCUUGCAUAGUGCUUGCCAAGUUUUGCAUUCAAAAUAGGUGUAUGUGUCUGCAUUGUAUAAUUUGACGUUGAAGGUAUAACCAUGCUCGGUCUUCAAGUAAACUUUUUUUACCUCCAUAGUUUUGUCAGGACUGAAACGUAUCUUAUCCAAGACAAAAAUUCUUGCAUGGCAGGGGAUACGCUAGUAGAAUCGUGAAAAAUUAAAAUUAAAAGUUGAAGCAAAUGAAGCAUAAGUCAUGCUUAAUUACGAAAAAACUUGUCGUUAUGACUUACUGUAUCCACUUCAAAGUUCUCAUCCAGCUUGAUGCUGAAGCGCCUAUCAUCAACUAGAAAAUUUCUGCCGCACAGGCCGCGCUGGUCUUCACAGUAUUCGCACAUAAUGAAAUUGUGUUCGUCGGCAGAUGACAUUCCUAUGUUCAUAGGUGAAACAUUAAACACUUAUUAGUUCUAUUAAUUCAACUAAUUCAAUUAAUCACUUACGAAAAAUAUACCUAAAUAAAUUAGCUCAAAUAAUUCAACUAACUAGUUCAACUAAUUAAUUCAACUAAUUCAACUAAACUAGUUCUAUUAAUUUUCUUACUAAAAAUAAGCUGGCUAGUUCUAUAUAGUAAAAUGUUAAUUAGAUGAUCAAAUCUCUAUANNNNNNNNNNNNNNNNNNNNNNNNNNNNNNNNNNNNNNNNNNNNNNNNNNNNNNNNNNNNNNNNNNNNNNNNNNNNNNNNNNNNNNNNNNNNNNNNNNNNNNNNNNNNNNNNNNNNNNNNNNNNNNNNNNNNNNNNNNNNNNNNNNNNNNNNNNNNNNNNNNNNNNNNNNNNNNNNNGAAAAAUAUACCUAAAUAAAGUAGCUCAACUAAUUCAACUAACUAGUUCAACUAAUUAAUUCAACUAAUUCAACUAAACUAGUUCUAUUAAUUUUCUUACUAAAAAUAAGGUAGCUAGUUCUAUAUAGUAAAAUGUUAAUUAGAUGAUCAAAUCUCUAUAUAAUAAAGUAGGUAGUUCUAUAUAGUAAUAUUUUGAUUAGAUCAUCAAAUCUCAUAUACCUAAAUUUUCUUACUAAAAAUAAACUAGUUCUAUUAAUUCAACUAAGAAUUUACUAAAAAUAAACUAGUUCUAUCAAUUUUCUUACUAAAAUAUAUAAAGUAGCUAUAUAUAGUAAUAUUUUAAUUAGAUCAUCAAAUCUCAUAUACCUAAAUUUUCUUACUAAAAAUAAACUAGUUCUAUUAAUUGAACUAGUUUAGUUAAGCAUUUACUAAAAAUAAACUAGUUAUAUUAAUUCAACUAGUUCAAAUAAUNNNNNNNNNNNNNNNNNNNNNNNNNNNNNNNNNNNNNNNNNNNNNNNNNNNNNNNNNNNNNNNNNNNNNNNNNNNNNNNNNNNNNNNNNNNNNNNNNNNNNNNNNNNNNNNNNNNNNNNNNNNNNNNNNNNNNNNNNNNNNNNNNNNNNNNNNNNNNNNNNNNNNNNNNNNNNNNNNNNNNNNNNNNNNNNNNNNNNNNNNNNNNNNNNNNNNNNNNNNNNNNNNNNNNNNNNNNNNNNNNNNNNNNNNNNNNNNNNNNNNNNNNNNNNNNNNNNNNNNNNNNNNNNNNNNNNNNNNNNNNNNNNNNNNNNNNNNNNNNNNNNNNNNNNNNNNNNNNNNNNNNNNNNNNNNNNNNNNNNNNNNNNNNNNNNNNNNNNNNNNNNNNNNNNNNNNNNNNNNNNNNNNNNNNNNNNNNNNNNGCGCGAUGGGCGAAGGCGCGACGGGGGCGACGAGGGCUGCGCUCGAUGGGCGACGGCGUGGCGGGGGCGGCGAGGGCGGCGCGCGAUGGGCGACGGCUGGGGCGACGAUAUCGGGCGAUGAAGUUGGAUAGAAAAUGGGCGGCGGAUAAAAACUGAAUUUUUCGUAAGUGACAUAUAUAUAGGAUGGACCUUUAGUACCGAUUGGAGCCACCGACAGGUACUAAAGGCCAAUUUUGGCCAGGUCAAGCGGCGGGAAGCGGACCCCUUUAGUACCGGUUUGUGCCUCAAACCGGUACUAAAGGUCCCCCAUUAGUACCGGUUCGAGCCACGAACCGGUACUAAAGGGGUUGCGCUGCCACCCGCGGCGCACAAUUUUAGUCCCACCUCGCCGAGCGAAGGGCAGCCGCACUCGUUUAUAAACCCAGCCGCGGCUGCUCCUUCGAACUCCUUUAUAUAGCAGGCUUCUGGGCCUAACUAUGGCAUGCUUCCCUGUGAGCUGUCGGACCUUCUAGGCCUGAAUUUGCACACCCUAGGUCUGGCAGGCCCACUGGACAGCGCCCCAACAAUUUUUUUAUAGUUUUUCUUUUCUACAUUAUUUAUUUUCUUCAAUUUAUUUUUGAGUAAUUUUUUAUAUAGUUUUUUCUUUUCUUCAUUAUUUAUUUUCUUCUAUUUAUUUUUGAGUAAUUUUUUACAUAGUUUUUUUCUUUUCUGCUUUAUUUAUUUUCUUCUAUUUAUUUCUGAGUAAUUUUUAUAUAGUUUUUUCUUUUCUGCUUUAUUUUCUUCAAUUUACUUCUAAGUAGUUUUUUCCUGUAUUUAGUUUCUUUGUGACCCUCUCUACUCUUUCGCACAUGCUAUGCGGGUGAAAUGAUGAUACCAUGGCAAGUUUCAACAUUUUCAGAGUUCAUUUUGUAGUGAUUUUCAAUUUCACGGACAUUUAGCUCUCUAAACAAAUCGGUAAAUGACUGAAAAACAACAAAUGAUGUCAGAACGUGUUGGAAAUUGAUGACGUUGCUUUGAAUGCUGCAUACUGAACACAAAAGAAGUCGGAAUUUCAAAUAAGUUUUAAAAACAUUGAACUGCCCGUGUAACAGAUGAGUUCUCGUCCGAAACCCUGAUACUCCGAAAGAGAUUGUCCAGUUUGUACACGAAGUGCAUCCAGUUUUUGCCGUGACCCUCUCUACUCUUUCGCACAUGCUAUGCGGGUGAAAUGAUGAUACCACGCCAAGUUUCAACAUUUUCAGAGUUCAUUUUGUAGUGAUUUUCAAUUUCACGGUCAUUUAGCUCUCUAAACAAAUCGGAAAAUGACUGAAAAACAGCAAAUGAUGUCAGAACGUGUUGGAAAUUGAUGACGUCGCUUUGAAUGCUGCAUACUGAACGCAAAAGAAGUCAGGAUUUCAAAUAAGUUUAAAAAACAUUGAAGUUCCCGUGUAACGGAUGAGUUCUCGUCCGAAACCCUGAUACUCUGAAAGAGAUUGUCCAGUUUGUACACGAAGUGCGUCCAUCGUGACCCUCUCUACUCUUUCACACAUGCUAUGCGGGUGAAAUGAUGAUACCAUGCCAACUUUCAACAUUUUCAGAGUUCAUUUUGUAGUGAUUUUCAAUUUCACGGUCAUUUAGCUCUCUAAACAAAUCGGUAAAUGACUGAAAAAUAGCAAAUGAUGUUAGAACGUGUUGGAAAUUGAUGACGUCGCUUUGAAUGCUGCAUACUGGAUGAAAAUAAGUCGGGAUUUCAAAUAAGUUUAAAAAACAUUGCAGUGCCCGUGUAACAGAUGAGUUCUCGUCCGAAACCCUGAUACUUCGAAAGAGAUUGUCCAGUUUGUACACGAAGUGCGUCAAGUUUUUGCCGUGACCCUCUCUACUCUUUCGCACAUGCUAUGCGGGUGAAAUGAUGAUACCAUGCCAAGUUUCAACAUUUUCAGAGUUCAUUUGUAGUGAUUUUUAAUUUCACGGUCAUUAAGCUCUCUAAACAAAUCGGUAAAUGCGUGAAAAACAACAAAUGAUGUCAGAACGUCUUGGAAAUUGAUUACGUCGCUUUGAAUGCUGCAUACUGAACGCAAAAGAAGUUGGGAUUUCAAAUAAGUUUAAAAACAUUGAAGUGCCCGUGUAACAGAUGAGUUCUUGUCCGAAACCCUGAUACUCCGAAAGAGAUUGUCGAGUUUGUACACGAAGUGCGUCCAGUUUUUUCCAUGACCCUCUCUACUCUUUCGCACAUGCAAUGCGGGUGAAAUGAUGAUACCAUGCCAAGUUUCAACAUUUUCAGAGUUCAUUUUGUAGUGAUUUUCAAUUUCACGGUCAUUUAGCUCUCUAAACAAAUCGGUAAAUGACUGAAAAACAACAAAUGAUGUCAGAACGUGUUGGAAAUUGAUGACGUCGAUUUGAAUGUUGCAUACUGAACGCAAAAGAAGUCAGGAUUUCCAAUAAGUUUAGAAAACAUUGAAGUGCCCGUGUAACAGAUAGGUUCUCGUCCGAAACCCUGAUACUUCGAAAGAGAUUGUCCAGUUUGUACACGACAUGCGUCCAAUUUUCGCCGUGACCCUCUCUACUCUUUCACACGUGCUAUGCGAGUGAAAUGAUGAUACCAUGCCAAGUUUCAACAUUUUCCGAGUUCAUUUUGUAGUGAUUUUCAAUUUCACGGUGAUUUAGCUCUCUAAACAAAUCGGUAAAUGACUGAAAACAGCAAAUGAUGUCAGCAUGCUUUGGAAAUUGAUGACGUUGCUUUGAAUGCUGCAUACUGAAUGAAAGGAAGUCAGGAUUUCAAAUAANNNNNNNNNNNNNNNNNNNNNNNNNNNNNNNNNNNNNNNNNNNNNNNNNNNNNNNNNNNNNNNNNNNNNNNNNNNNNNNNNNNNNNNNNNNNNNNNNNNNNNNNNNNNNNNNNNNNNNNNNNNNNNNNNNNNNNNNNNNNNNNNNNNNNCCCUCUCUACUCUUUCGCACAUGCUAUGCGGCUGAAAUGAGGAUACCAUGCCAAGUUUCAACAUUUUCAGAGUUCAUUUUGUAGUGAUUUUCAAUUUCACGGUCAUUUAGCUCUCAAAACAAAUCGGUAAAUGACUGAAAAACAACAAAUGAUGUCAGAACAUGUCGGAAAUUGAUGACGUCGCUUUGAAUGAUGCAUAUUGAAUGCAAAAGAAGUUGGGAUUUCAAAUAAGUAUAAAAACCAUUGGAGUGCCCGUGUAACAGAUGAGUUCUCGUCCGAAACCUUGAUACUCCGAAAGAGAUUGUCCAGGUUGUACAUGAAGUGCGUCUAGUUUUUGCCGUGACCCUCUCUACUCCUUCGCACAUGCUAUGCGGAUGAAAUGAUGAUACCGUGCCAAGUGUCAACAUUUUCAGAGUUCAUUUUGUAGUGAUUUUCAAUUUCAUGGUUAUUUAGCUCUCUAAACAAACCGGUAAAUGACUGAAAACAGCAAAUGAUGUCAGAACGUGUUGGAAAUUGAUGACGUCACUUUGAAUGCUGCAUACUGAAUGCAAAAGAAGUCGGGAUUUCAAAUAAGUUUAAAAAACAUUGGAGUGCCCGUGUAACAGAUGAGUUCUCAUCCGAAACCCUGAUACUCCGAAAGAGAUUGUCCAGUUUGUACACGAAGUGCGUCCAGUUUGUGUCGUGACCCUCUCUACUCUUUCGCACAUGCUAUAAGGGUGAAAUGAUGAUACCAUGCCAAGUUUCAACAUUUUCAGAGUUCAUUUUGUAGUGAUUUUCAAUUUCACAGUCAUUUAGCUCUCUAAACAAAUCGGUAAAUGACUGAAAAACAGCAAAUGAUGUCAGAACGUGUUGGNNNNNNNNNNNNNNNNNNNNNNNNNNNNNNNNNNNNNNNNNNNNNNNNNNNNNNNNNNNNNNNNNNNNNNNNNNNNNNNNNNNNNNNNNNNNNNNNNNNNNNNNNNNNNNNNNNNNNAAGAAGUUGGGAUUUCAAAUAAGUUUAAAAAACGUUGGAGUGCCCGUGUAACAGAUGAGUUCUCGUCCGAAACCCUGAUACUCCGAAAGAGAUUUCCACGUUGUACACGAAGUGCGUCCAGUUUUUGCCGUGACCGCCUCUACUCCUUCGCACAUGCUAUGUGGCUGAAAUGAUGAUACCAUGCCAAGUUUCAACAUUUUCAGAGUUCAUUUUAUAGUGAUUUUCAAUUUCACGGUUAUUUAGCUCUCUAAACAAACCGGUAAAUGACUGAAAAACAGCAAAUGAUGUCAGAACGUGUUGGAAAUUGAUGACGUCACUUUGAAUGCUGCAUACUGAAUGCAAAAGAAGUCGGGAUUUCCAAUAAGUUUAAAAAACAUUAGAGUGCCCGUGUAACAGAUGAGUUCUCGUCCGAAACCCUUAUACUCCAAAAGAGAUUGUCCAGGUUGUACACGAAGUGCGUCCAGUUUUUGCCGUGACCCUCUCUACUCUUUCGUACAUGCUAUGCGGGUGAAAUGAUGAUACCAUGCCAAGUUUCAACAUUUUCAGAGUUCAUUUUGUAGUGAUUUUCAAUUUCACGGUCAUUUAGCUCUCUAAACAAAUCGGUAAAUGACUGAAAACAGCAAAUGAUGUCAGAACGUGUUGGAAAUUGAUGACAUCGGUUUGAAUACUGCAUACUGAACGCAAAAGAAGUCGGGAUUUCAAAUAAGUUUAAAAAACAUUGGAGUGCACGUGUAACAGAUGAGUUCUCAUCCGAAACCCUGGUACUCCGAAAGAGAUUGUCCAGUUUGUACACGAAGUGCGUCCAAUUUUUGCCGUUGCCCUCUCUACUCUUUCGCACAUGCUAUGCGGGUGAAAUGACGAUACCAUGCCAAGUUUCAACAUUUUCAGAGUUCAUUUUGUAGUGAUUUUCAAUUUCACGGUCAUUUAGCUCUCUAAACAAAUCGGUAAAUGACUGAAAAACAGCAAAUGAUGUCAAAACGUGUUGGAGAUUGAUGACGUCGCUUUGAAUGCUGCAUACUGAAUGCAAAAGAAGUUGGGAUUUCAAAUAAGUUUAAAAAAUAGUGGAGUGCCCGUGUAACAGAUGAGUUCUUGUCCGAAACCCUGAUACUCCAAAAGAGAUUGUCCAAGUUGUACACGAAGUGCGCCCAGUUUUUGCCGUGACCCUAUCUACUCUUUCGCACAUGCUAUGCAGCUGAAAUGAUGAUACCAUGCCAAGUUUCAACAUUUUCAGAGUUCAUUUUGUAGUGAUUUUCAAUUUCACGGUCAUUUAGCUCUCUAAACAAAUCUGUAUAUGACUGAAAAAUAGCAAAUGAUGUCAGAACGUGUUGGAAAUUGAUGACGUCGCUUUGAAUGUUGCAUACUGAACGCGAAAGAAGUCGGGAUUUCAAAUAAGUUAUUAAAAAUAAAAAAGAGGUGCAAUGCUGGUUAAUUAGCUUCAAGCCUUUCGGAAUAGUGUAGACCGCACUGCACAUAGCUCCGUGCAAUCUAUGCUAUUCCAAAAGGCUUGAAGCUAAGCAACGUACAGGUGAGCAUUGCACCUCUCCUUCAUCGUCUCUGCACUCGCGGCUUAUAAACCGUUCCUACUGCCUCUCUCUUGGCGAGGUGGGACUAAAAAUCAGCUUACUAAGAAACUCUAGUACCGGUUCAUGCCUUGAACCGGUACUAAAGGUGUUCGUGGGGCCCCAGCCUAACCACAACCCGACACAGCCUCAUUAGUAUCGGUUCGUGGUAUGAACUGGUACUAAAGGUUGCCCACGAACCGGUACUAAUGAUGUCCGCCCGCCUAGCCGUUGGAACCGGCACUAAUGGACACAUUAGUGUCGGCUCAAAUUCAAACCGGCACUAAUGUGCUUCACAUUUGACCCUUUUCUACUAGUGGGAAGACUCCAUGAUAUCCGCUCCAGCUUCGUCUUCAUAAUCAUCAUCACUAUCAUCGGGGUCGGAGUCGGUGUCGUCAAUGAUGAUGUAGCAAUCACACACACAGUACUCGAAGGAUUUAUAACAGAGUAGCAAUCACACACUUAUUACAUCGAACGUCUCCAAAGAGAACUUAUUACAAUAAAUAUGGCUUAAGGCCAUCUAAUACGAUAACAGCGAAAGACUUGGAAGAUAAAGUGAGUCCAUCAACUCCAAUGGCAUAGCUGAGUGCAUGACAACCGACCUAUCACGUCUUACUCCUCGUCUGAAAAGUCUGCAACAUGAUACGUUGCAGCCUGAAAAUGGGUCAGCACAUGGAAUACGCUGGCAAUGUAACACAGUAGAGCAAUGAAUAGAUAAAUUCUAUCACUACAUGCAUAUGUGGCUGGUGGAGGCUCUAUGGUUUUUGUGAAAAGCCAAUUUUUCCCUAAAACAAAGGAAAACAUUUUAUUUAACUAUCAUGAUAGUUGAAACAUUGAGAGUGGUACCCCCAUCUCAAUCCUAAUUAAAAGUAAUUAUCAUCCCAGCAAAUUAAAUUAGAGUGAUGAGAUACAGUAGGAUAAUCCAAGUACUAGAUACUCAAGAUGUCCAUAACCGGGGACACGGCUAACCAUGAUUAGUUUGUACACUCUGCAGAGGUUUGCGCACUUUUCCCCACAAGACUCGAUCUCCUUCAUUGGAUUUCUCGGACUACAAGGUGUUUGAGAAACGGAUGACCGAGACACAGUCUUUCAGAAGCAUUAAGUCUUUACUUCGGAUGGACAGUUACACCUACUUUCCCUCUACAUCUGCUAGCCCACCAUUGAAAGAGGUCACACAACAUACUCAACUAUGCUAGAGCCCAUAAUAGCUUGUGGCUGCACAUCGAAGUUUCUAGCAUGAAUAAUCUUAUGAUCCCUUUGAGCCUGGGUGGCGGACCGUAGGAGGAUCACACGGUAUAUCCCCGGGAUCUCCUAGGACAACACUGGUAUAUCCCCAGGUGCCCAAAACAAGCAAUCCACCCAGAUGUGUAUUAAAGUUGCCACCUUAAAUUGAACCAUUAAUUAAAAAUCUCACAUCUGUCAUGGAUACACUCAAACCCAAUCCAAGUCUACGAGCAUAGCAUAGCAAUAUAAGCAUAACGUAGAAGUAACUCCCAGGGGUUUGAUAAUAAAACGGGUAAUAGGUUCUACCUCAUCAUCUACUUCCCAAUACCCAGAAGUUAAAAGAUCCUACUCAUGCAAUGUUUGGGGAUUGAAACUAAUGCAUAAAAACUAGGUAUGAAAGAAGUAUGAUCAAUGUGUUACUUGCCUUGCUGAUGAUCUGCAAAACCUAGAGACUCGUAGUAGCACGCUUCGCACUCUGGGUGUUCUAUCGCAAACAAACAAUAGCAUACAUAAGCAAUCAAGCAAAGAUGCAUGGGUAAAUCUCAAAUAAGAAGAUCUAACCAGAAAGUUCAACUUAAGAACUCUGGUUUGCAAAAAGAAUCAAAUCAAACGGAGCAACAAAACACAAACUGCAAAAGAAGCAAGAUAUGAUUACUAAUCUGGACUAAAGUCAAAUUUUACUGUAUCAAAAUCUUGUUCAAGUUGGUUAAAUGGAAAGAGGGUUUGGAGACGAAGAUCCAGGCGCUUGAAUCGCCUGAUUCUGAUAAGCGAGCAAAAAGAUAAACUAAAACGAAAAUCGGGUCAGAAAUCGCGAUCGAAAAUAAUCGCGAAAACCCUGGAAAAAGAAAAACAAAUGAACAGACUAACGAAUGAACGUUCGCUGUCUGUGAGUAAUGGGUGAACAGCGUUCGUUAAAACGAACGAACAUCCGCAAAAUAAGUAAACCGACGGAAACCCGAUCUAAUAAAUUAAACCGGAAAAAUAAAAAAAUGGAUCUAGAUCUAGGGUUUACCAAAAUAAACCGAUGAAAAAAAAUGGCGGCGGUGGCUAACUCCGGCGAAGUCGGCGGCGGCGGUGGCUGGCGGCGGCGUGGCGCGGGAACCGAGGCGGCGGCGGCUACAGUUUCGGGCACGGGCGGCGGCUGGGCUGGGGGUCGAGGUGGGCUGCGGGGCGGUGGCUGGCGCCUUAUAAAGGGGGGGCUGGGGAUUCCUUGUUUCAAUAUUUCAAUUAUUUUGGAGAAGUCAUAUUAUCUCCUCUCAUGUAUUUUAAUAUGAAAUAUUUUUGGAGGGAAAAUUUAAUUAUAACCAAAAUGAUCCUUGUUUCAAUAUUUGAUAGAAUUCAAAUAUGAAAAUCGUGAAAUCCCCAACUCUCUCCGAGGGUCCUUGAGUUGCUUAGAAUUUCGAGGAUCGCAAAACGGAAUGCAGCAAAAAUAUGAUAUGCAUGAAUGACCUAUGUAUAACAUUCCAAAUUGAAAAUUUAGGAUGUUACACCCCAUGACAUCAUUUCCUGCCCCAUCAACGUCCUCCUCCUCCUCAUCAUCUUCACUUAUCCACCGAGUAUGGCCAUCCAUGAAACCAUGCAUGAGCAGGUGCGCCUUAAAUGCACCACCCUCAAAGAGGUCGAGCAUGACUAUUCAUUUGAAUUUUCGACACGGACAUACAACAUCCUUCAGUCUUUUUCAUACAUGUCGUCCACAGCGGAUUGCCAGUAUCUUUCCACCAUCCUUCCAUUGACCUUCAUGAUCACCUGCGCGCGGAGAAAAUAUUAUAACCACGUAUGCAUGCAUGGAUCAAAUUCAUACAAAAAUUCGGCAUGACCUUCCCUAAACAUAGGACAUAUUGAGUUUGUCCGAAAUUCGCCGAAACGGAAUUGAAUCGACAUUUCGAGAAAACAUAGGCAACUCAUGUCACCCACAUUAUUUCAUCAAAUACACAAUGUAGGCAACUCAAAUUAUGCCACACACAUAUAGUUUCAGUCCUAUCCACACAAACACUUUUUUUGCUCACCUAUGUGUCGAGAGGGAUAUCGAGCACCUUUCUUCUUAAUUACCUAGUAGCUCUAGAUAUAUAGCUCUAACUAGCUAGCUAGCUAGGGAGAGAGUGGGAGGAGAGGGAGAGGAGAGGGAAGGCAUUAACAGAAGGGNNNNNNNNNNNNNNNNNNNNNNNNNNNNNNNNNNNNNNNNNNNNNNNNNNNNNNNNNNNNNNNNNNNNNNNNNNNNNNNNNNNNNNNNNNNNNNNNNNNNNNNNNNNNNNNNNNNNNNNNNNNNNNNNNNNNNNNNNNNNNNNNNNNNNNNNNNNNNNNNNNNNNNNNNNNNNNNNNNNNNNNNNNNNNNNNNNNNNNNNNNNNNNNNNNNNNNNNNNNNNNNNNNNNNNNNNNNNNNNNNNNNNNNNNNNNNNNNNNNNNNNNNNNNNNNNNNNNNNNNNNNNNNNNNNNNNNNNNNNNNAAUGGAGGGGGUGGUGGUUGGAGGGCAAAGAAGAGGGGUAGGGAGGGCUCUAAUGGAGGCGUGGUGGAGGGGCAAAGAAGAGGGGGGUGGUUGAGGGCUAGAGGGGCAGGAGGGGGAGCAUUGAAAGGAACAAGCAAGUUGCAAGGAAAGGGGAAGAAAGGAAGGGGGGAAUAAGAGAGGGGAGGAAGAAGGGGGAAAGGUGGUAGGUGGCUGGCGUCCAUAGCAGUAGCGUGGGUCACCUAUGCAUGCUACUGCUAUGGGAGCCUGCAAAAUAUCUACGGCUAGUGUUGCACUACCUAUAGUGCAGGCUAGGAAAACACGCUACUGGUAAAAUGUUACACAUAGAAGAAAUAGCAGUAGCACGUUUAGGUAAACAUGCGCUAUAGAUCCUAAACUAACAGUAGCGCCGGUUAGACGACUAGUGCUGCUAAUAUUUAUUGAUCAGGGGGUGUAGUGUGUUACACUUAGCAGUAGCGUGGUACUAGAAAACAAGCGCUACUACUAAUAAAUAUCAGUAGCGCUCUUUCUAGCCAGUGCUACUACUAACUACUAGUAGCAUAGGGUCAUAAACAAAUGCUACUGGUAAACUUCUAUCUAUAAGCAUUUUCCUAGUAGUGUGAGAGAAUCAGGGCAGCGGUAGGAGUUAGAGACUUUGAGAAAAUCCCAGGAUACACUGAAAUAACAUACACAGAUCUAAACAUUUACAGAGUUAUGCCAACUUUGGAGAAGGUGGUUGAGAUGGGUUGGUAUGGUGAUCAUAAGAGACAGCAUCUA